Molecule: long non-coding RNA, 55259 nt
Filed under: Vitis vinifera (wine grape)
Lineage: Eukaryota; Viridiplantae; Streptophyta; Magnoliopsida; Vitales; Vitaceae
Description: long non-coding RNA (VVIN_LNC000547)
Source: RNAcentral
AAGAAUUUGAUCAAGUACUCUUCGCGCUUUGUGAGCAGACAUAGAGAUAGAUUGACUUAAAGCGUAUACUUCUGUUUUUAAUUUUAUAUCUUCUUUUUCUCUUGUAAAUAUAAAUGGGUCUUUAUUUAUGUUCCUUAACAUAUUUUUCAUAAGGUUCACCUCCCACUAAUGAAUAAUGAAGGAUAAGUAUCGUUAUUUUAAUGAUGAGAUCUAUUAUAAUUUUUUGCGUUACUUAUGUCCAGUAUCUAGUCAAAUUGGAUUCUAUUAUUCUAAUAGAAAACUAUUAAUGCAUUCUAUGACAUUGACAUUUAAAUCUGGCAAUAGUGACACAGUCACACCACUCCAAUUUAGAUUGAAAAAAACAAAGAAGAGAAGGGGUAAAGUCAAAUAAUCUUCUUCACAAUAUACAUACUAUGUAUAGAAAUACGGUACAAUUAUUGCAACAAAAGAUUCCCUUUUUAUGUGGAAAAGGCCCAUAUCAAUAAUUCUGAUUUUAUGUAUGGACAAUUCCUCAAUAUUUUGUUCAUUCGCAAGAAAAUAUUUUCUUUGUGCGGCAGUAAAAAAAAACAUGCUUUUUUGGGGAGAGAUACUAUUUCACCAAUCGAGUCACAAGCAUCUAACAUAUUCAUACCUAACAAUUUUCCACAAAGUGGUGACGAAACAUAUAACUUGUACAAAUCUUUCCAUUUUCCAAUUCGAUCCAAUCCAUUCGUUCGUAGAGCUAUUGACUCGAUCGCAGACAUUUCUGGGUUCAAGUAUAUCUUGUCUUUACUAAGAAUUAUUUUCCUUGGUUAACACUAAUUGUAGUUUUGCUGAUAUCCGCAGGUUCCUUAAUUUUUUUUCUCCCUCAUAAAGGAAAUAAGGUAAUUAGAUGGUAUACUAUAUUUAUAUGUAUGUUAGAACUACUUCUAACAACCUAUGUAUUUUGUUAUCGUUUCCAAUUAGAUGAUCCAUUAAUCCAACUGGUGGAGGAUUAUAAAUGGAUAUUCUUAGUUUAUCCAUUUGCACUUGUAAUGCAUGAUUUAUAAUAUGGUUCAAGGUGAAGUUAUUGGUAGAAAAAUAAAGACUAAAGAGUUUUGAUGAUGGGCUUUUAGUAAGAAAGAAAGUAAGCCAUGAUAAUCGUGAAUUGUCAAAGUACGAGGCUAAAUUUGAGUAGCCUAAGAGGAGAGAGGGGUUGGAGAAAGUUGAAGGAUCAAGGUUCUAAGAGGAAAGUUUACAUAUUCUUAGAGAACCACGUGAUGGGCUCAAGAGCACUUUCAAAAUAGAAAAAGUCAGUCCCUUCAAAGCAAAGCCUUUGAGUUCUCUGUAUGAAGCUUAAAGGGAACAAGCCAUUUUUGAGACGAAAGUGCCAACUGAUAGGAGGCUUGUAAAGCCCAAGGCUUAGGAUUUCCUUGACUCAAGAUGCGGAAAUGAUGACAUGUGCCUUUUGGAUAUGCUUAAUCUCCCUCUUUCUCGAUCAAUUUGAAAUGAGUCCAAUAUAUGCUCUGUAUAUCUUGUCUAGACAUACUUCCAACACUAUUCAUCAAGCCAAAUCCUUGAAUAAAUCAUAAAUAUAUAUUGAUGGGAUGGAUACACUAAACACAUGUAGGAGUGAUGCAAUGCUAAAGUGAUAACCACAUUAUUGCCGAGUAGAAACUAAGUUGACCUAGCUAUUCAAUUAUAUUUAUAUGCAUGAUAAGUUCUGUUUUAUUUAAAGUAUCAGGAACUCAAUUUUGACCAAAUAUAAAGCAUCGAAUAUGUGGCCAAACAAAUCAUCUUGGUAAUGUACUACGUAUGCUCUCUUUAACAUUUUAUCUUCAAUUGAAGUUAAUGACUAUGUAGUCCACAGUAGUUGAUGGCUACUUUAUCCAAGGUUGAUGUUGAGCUAAAUUUAUUAAGGCUAUUUUGGACACACCAUGUAAUAUGUUUCUAUCAUGGAUUUGCUCAUUUUCUUACAGAAAACCCAUAUGAUGACAAAAUUUGUUUUUGAUAAUUAAUGUUUCUUUAUGAAAACAUUGGUGGCUUGCUCCAAUCACGAAUAGGUUAUGGCACAUUUGAUGUGGGCGUGAAUGCACUUGCAAGAAUGCAACUUGUCCAUAUGAGUUUUCUACAUAUAGAUAUGAUAAACAUACUGAAGUCUGUCUGCAUUAAUAGCUGCAUUCAAGACUCUAUGCUAUCCUAUUUUUUCCUUUUUCCAAUUUUAUGGCCAAAUGAUGUGGAAAGUAUGGUGGAGUAGUGGCUUCUGUUAGUGAUUCUUAUCAUUGUGAUGAAACAAAAGAACUAAAAUAGUCCUACAAGAGCCUUUAAUAUAUGGCAAAGGAAAUUCUUCAUGGAUAACUUACAUAUGAAAGUUUGAACAAAUUGAAAUGUUCUAAUAAACAAUCAAUGGCAAGACCUAAAUAUAUAGCAUCUUUUAUGUGAAAAUCUCAUCUUAGUCCCUAUGCUCUCUUGACCUUUUAUCUUUAGUCGAAGUCAAUUGAUUAUGUACUCCAUACUCAAAGGUUACUUUGAACCUUCAUCCAAGUUUUAUUUUGAACCAAGUUUCAUAAUAAAGGUCAUUUUAAACACAACACUUGAUAAGUUUCUAGCUACUGAUCUACUCCUUAACUUUAAGAACUUAAGUCUAGGACAUCUUGGGUUCCACUUUGAAGUAACGUGGCUGCUGUAUUUGCAUUGCAUCAUACUCUUAGAGUGGAAGAAUACAUUUUUAUGAAUUUGUAUCAAAUCCUCGUAAUAUUAUGAUAAAUCUUAAAUGUUAAAAGGUAGAAUCAUCCGGAAGUGAAUAGGCUAAUUCAGUAAUAUUCUACCUAUCUAUUUAAAGUGUUAGUAGUCACAAAGGAGUUGGUAUGUAAAAUCGAGUGGAAGAGACCCACCUCAUGUAGGAGAUAAUUUCUAUUCCUUAACAUAAUCGAGUGGGGGUUAAAUAAGAAUCACAUAAUUUUGUUUUAUGCUUAUUAACAUAUGUGCACAUUUAUAUUAUAGGAGUGGUGUGCCGCAUGUUGAAUGCAGAACAAACACGACCAUCGUGAGCACACUACUUUGACCCAUCAUUCUCAAUGAGGCCUGAAUUAGACUUCUUUAAUGCGUUUCUCAAUUAUUUUUAAUUGGACACUAUGUGGUGAGCCGUAAAAACACUUGUAUAGGUGGUGCUGGGCAGCCUUACAAACAAGGCUAAAAAACAUGAAAUAAGAGACAGAUGUCGGAUGUUUCUUGAUGCUGAAAUUGUGGGACACGAUUUCUCAACUUGUGAGUUGGUACUAAAAACUUGUUAAAAUGGAAUCAUAGCCAAUUAUCGUUUUUAUUUAUUAAAAAUAUGAUUUUUCCCUACUGACCUAUUAAUGGAAAUGUCCUCAAUCCUUAUGCGAUUUUUCUUUCCAGUGUGUGAUAGCAACCAUUGGCACAUCCACGUUAUAAAUAUUCCAGUAGCGCGAGUUGAAAUAUUAUUUUCUUUGCCUUUACGAAAGGGUAACAACAUAAGUGUCGUAAUGAGAAGAUUGUUUGAGGCAAUUGAUAAAGCCUUCCAUGCUCAUGGCAUGCAUAGGCAAUUGGAGGCGUUUAAAUUCGUGCAUGUGCAACCCCAGAUUGUGCGGCAAUGAAAUGGAUAGAUUACUUUCGUUGUGAUCAUUUUCGUAUAAUGAACUAUGUGAUAGUAAUGUAGUUGCAUUUUCCGCUUGUUGUAUGUAUAUGAUUGGUGAAAUGCAAUUGGUGGUGUAGAUAUGAUUGUGGGAUGUUCGCUAUCAAGUACAUGCAAUAUUGGUACGGGGCCACACUAGCACAUUCAAUUGCGGAGGUAAGCACAACCAAUACAUUAUUGUUUGGUUUUGCGGAAGUUAUUCCAUACCAGGCUAUGAUUUUUUUGUGCGUUGUAUAGGACAAGAUGCAUCUAUACAGAUUGAGGCUUGUCGUGAACUUGCUUACCAAUGAGGCAAACAAUGCUAGAGAGAAGGUCAUAUAGGCAUGUCCAAUGUGAGGUAUGAGGGUUUUGCCUUUUUUGUUAGUUUCAAUUUAUAAUAAACUCAAGCUUGCCUAUAGCAAACCAAAAUCUUCCUUUCCACAUCACCCAUGUGAUCAUACAUCCAUUUGAAAGUGAACCUGCAAAUAUGAAGGUUGCAUAAAGUUGCAAAAAGGUACUGCAUUUCUACCAAUCAAUAUUAAGCUUUUGGCAUAUGUUUCCAAUGAUUAGCACUUGUUGAAACAAAAAAAAAAAAUGAUAUUCCAUGCAUGAGAUGCUUAGAGAAAUUGUAAAUAUAUUGAGAUGUUGCCUUGAUAUUUUAGUUAAGAACUAAAUAAUUAAAAAGAUUUUUAUUUUUUUAUUUUAUUUUAUUUUAUUUUUUUACUUAAGUCCCUUGAUUCGUUUAUGUUAGAAUUUCCAACCGAGGUGAUUUGGGAAUUUCCAGCUCCCAUGACAGUGGGAUUUUUUGCUUAGGAAGCGGCUAAGGGUAAGAUUUUGACUAAGGACCAACUGAUGAAAAGAGGUGUCAUUUAGCAAAUUUUUGUUAUUUGUGUGAAAAAAAAGGAAGAGCCAGCCAAUUACAUUUUGAUCCACUGUAGCCUAGUCAUAAUCUCUAGCAUUUUGAGCUCUCUUAGUUUGGACUUUCUUGGAUUAUUCCUAGGUCAUCCAAAAAGGUCUUAUUAGGGUUGCAUGGUAGACUUGUUGGGAAAAAUCACAGAAAAGUUUCGACAGUAGCUCUCCUUUGCUUAUUUUCAACAACAUGAAAAGAAAAAUUAGGGGAUUUACAAAGUUUUGGAAUUGUCGGUUCAAACUUUAGAGGAGUUUUUAAUUCAUUCUUUCUUCUAGUGGUCUAAGUAUUUCGAUUUGCAUCUUUUGUUUUUGUUGAGUUUCAUAGAUGGUUUAAACCCUUACUAAGAUUCUAGUGCUAGCUUAUUGAGUCCUAAUGGGCAUUCAUUGUAUACCUCCUGUGUAUAUGGGUGGCACUCCAUUUCUUAGGUGUCUUUUAUAAUAAACUCUUUCUUAUUGAGGAAAACAAACAAACAAACAAAUUAAGAGCAAUUCUACUGAAGGAAUCCAAUAAAAAUAUGGCAAAGUAAUUUGUAAUAGAUUAGGAUAUUGGGACAGUGUCUAAAGAGGAAACUUGUUACCAAAUCAAUAAAGAGAAUGAAAAACAGUAGGAACUUUUAACACUUAACUCAUUAUCAAAGACUAAACGAUUAAUGUCAAUGUUUAACAAAUUAAGCAACUGUGCUAUAAAAGAAUAAGAUAGAAAAGAGGAAUGACCACCUAAAUAAUAUGGUGUCCUAAUGUGGGGUCCUGAUUGCACUGAGACCUUCUUAAAGAAGUUAAAUUUAAAGGUUCUAUUAUUUAACUCAGUCCCUUGUAUCUUAACUUCAUACAUAUAAAACUAGAAAAGUUUUUCUCUACUUAAGUGUGAGAAAUGACUAGUUUGAAGGGUUGAAAUGUUGAUAUUCAGAAUGUUGUCUUUUGUGGCUAGUACAGUUGAUUGUCAUAUCACAUGAAGGCCCUGAUGCAAGGGAGAAACAAGAAGAUCUUGGUAAAAUGGAUGAAGGGUAUUCCAUAGAUCAUGAAGUAGAAUCAUGGAAACUUGUCACUCUAUUUAGUGCUCUAGACUUUCUGCAGUCUCAAGUCACUUCUGUUAGCUUCUUUGUUCCAACAAUCACUCAUAUUUUGAAAUCAAUGGUUUCACAAUUUACAACAUUGAAUUUUUUCUUUAAUAGCUUCCACUUAAACACAUCUUGUAUAGAUUUUAUGUGUAAAGGUAGAAUGUAACAUCACAUGGCCUAAUACUCCUUAUGUGUCAACAUGGCCAUGUUUUACAUGUACAUAUCAUCAACAAGACAAGUAGUAUGCUUAAAACCUUAGGACAUAGUCAUGCUUAGAUAUCAUUUGAGAUUUCACAUGGAAAGUGAGAACUAUUGCUUCCAUUGCUCUAACUUAUGCUUAAGACAAUAAUUUUUUAGGAGAAGAUUAUAAUGUAAUUCUUGAAAGAAUGUGAGUUAUUGAAAUUAUAUAUACACACAUGGACGUAUAGAUAACAACUAUUUGAAUGCUAGUUUGAAUGACAUAGGACAUUGGAAAUAUGACGCAUAUAGAAGAUUAGGACCAUACCUUUUGACAUAAUUAGUUUGGACUUCUUGGAAAACUUCGAUCUAUAACCAUCCAAUCUUUUGAGCAUAUCAAAAUUUUCUUAUUGGAUUUUAUAUGGAGGCAUUGCAUUUCCCCUUAUAAAUGUUAUGCUUGAUUAACAACCUUCAGAAUCAAUAUAUCUUGAAUAAGUUCAGAAAAAGCCCAUCUUCUUCUUUAUCUCUUCUUAUUCUUCUUCUUCUUAACUUUCUUCCUAUGGUUAUCUUUUAGUUCAAGGCUGGUGGAACAAGUAGUAGAGUGUAAAUGGCAAUAGGCUUUAUCUAGUCUAAACUAUAUAAAAAACAAGGUUUUAUGACAUCCAUCUUGCAGAUUUUUUUAGUGUCAUCUUUCUUUCUAUGUAAACUAUUUGCAUGUUCCAUUUUCAUAAAAAUAAGUAAGAUAACGAACACUAAUUUUGAUCUAUUGGUAUAGCGCAAAAAAAUAUGGAUCAAUACCUCCAACCACACCCUUCCCACCAACAUGAAGCUCCUUCACCAACAUAUUUCAUCAUUUUUUAUUUAUGAAUUAUGAUUGUUUAUUUUUUUUUAAAUUAAAUAAAAAUAAAUAAAUAAAAUAAAGAAAGAAAAAGAAAAAUAAUUUGUUAGCAUUGGUUGCUCGAAAAAUUGUAAUCCAUCAUAAUUGUUGAUUUCUCUACCAUGUAGAGCUUAAGGGAAAGACUUAAUAAUAAAGGGGCAUACAUUGUUCUAGGGCCUCCUACUUUUGUUGAUCCAAUUUUCCACAGCUUCAAAGUUGUAACUCUAGGAGCCAAGUUAUGGAAUACGAAAUCCAUUUACUGUUGUUUCUCUUUUAACUAGUCUAAAUGAGAAAGAGAAAGGAAAAGAAAAUAGUAAUUUUGAAAAAUAAAAUAAAAAUAGACAUUUACGAAACUUUUCCUUUGUUUGUUUGGAAAAAUAAAAAGGUUCCUAGUUGUAACACAUCAAAAAUGUUAGACCCAUUUUUUUGCAACAGAUUGGAAAAAAUGAAGAUGGUCAAGCAAAUGAGAGGGAGAAACAUAGAAAAUUUGAAGUGUGUCGAAAGAGAGAACAGGAAAUAGAGAAGAGUGUUAAAUGACCUUGUUAUCGCAACUGAGCAUUAUCACUGCAGUGGCUGGAUCAUCGAGUCUACCAUGGACUUGGGUUAGGAUUCUGAUUGUAGAGGAGCUGAUUGAUGGUGUGUUUUGGUUGUUGCCUAUCUGGUACAAUGCUUUGUAUUUUUCUGUUAGUGUUGAAGAGUAUUUAUGUAAAGUAUGUAAAAGAAUAUAUUUAUUUAUUUAUUUAUGAUUGUUAUAGUUAUAUUUGUUUGAAAUUGUUUUGUAGUAACGAUCAAUUAAUCAUUAUCAAAGAGAAGGAUAAAGGAGUGAAGAUAAAUGAUGAUGUAAGAAGUAAUACUAUUGUGGCUAAUAUAAUUAAAUUUUAAAAUUUGAAUUUGAAGUAAGUGAAAAAUUAAUGCAGUUGAGGAAAAAAUUGAGCAAGAAGUGGAAUGCACUUUCAAAAGUAGAAAAAGAAGAUUUCAUGACAAAGUCAAAAGAAAGUUCAAAACAAUAUUUGCUUCAAAAGGGUGUGGGUCCAAAGGUAAAUUUUUUUGUAAUGAAUAAAAAAUUUGAUUACUUAUGUAUUUGUUGCAAGUUAUAUUAAUGCAAACAUGUUUGAUGUUUGUGUAUCUUUUCAGUUAUAUUUUCAGACUUGAUGCUCACCCGGGCGAGUGAUUAGAGUUAUUGAAGAAUUAGAACCAAAGCAAAAAGUAGCCAUAGAAGAAAGAAGAUUUGGUAACCUCUUACAACUUUGAUGUAGGAAAAUUGAUCAUGGGUUAUGUCUUUGGUUGAUAAAUAGUUUCAAUCAAAACAUUCAUAUGUUAGAGUUGUAUAAUACCUGUAUCAAAUUAUUUUCGAUUGAUGUUGAAUUUAUUAUGGGAUUGAGGACAAGAGGGUUGAAGAUUGACGUGAACAAAGAUGUUAGCAAUAAGAAUUAUUUAUGUAAAAAAUAUUGUGAUAAAAAGGGGCAAUUACCAUUAGUGGUGUUAGAAAAUCAAAUUAAGGAGGUAAAGAAGGUGGAAACGAUUUCAAAGUUUGUUUUGUAUUAUUUGUGUUGGGUGCAUUAUUGUACUUAAUAAUGAAGCAUUUUGUGAAACGUUCUUUCUUACAUCUUAUGGAAAACAUCGAUUCAAUAAAGAAAAUGAAUUGGGCUGAAUUUGUGUUUUCUUAUCUUAUGCAUGGGAUUGAAGAGUUUAAGAGGAAACAACAAAGUGGGGUUUCUGGUUACUUAUUCUUUGUUAUGGUAAUGUCCUUAUACAUAAUUUACAUCAUAGUGAAUUUUGAAUUUGUUAUAAUAAAUUUUGUGAACUAAAUACAUAUCUAUGUAAAAUAUAAUUGCAGUUAUUCUACCACGAGCAUAUAUCUUUCCAACAGAAAUUUCCACCGCUAUAUACUCGACCUUUUCCUCGGAUUAUUAUUCCUUGGGGAGAUGAUGAAGUACUGGAUAUGAAACAAAGAUUGAAAAAAAUCGGUGGAUAUGCAAAUGACAAUGUAAGUUAUAGUUUUGAAAGUCAUUUAAUAUUUGUUUUUGUUUUUUAGCGAUUUUAAAUAGGAUAUGUGUGAUAUAUUGAUGAAUAUAUUGUAGGUGAAAAUAUGAGUGAUACAAAAUGAGAUAAGGGAUUGGGUUGAUGAAAAUGAGAUGACAAUGGAGGGGGAGAAUGAGGAGGAUGAGAAAUUUGAAAUCCAUCCAAACAAAGAUGUUAUUAAACGAGUAAGUUUUACAAUAUUCAUCAUGAGUAUAAAUAUUAGUAGUGAACCCUUGUAUUAUGAUGUUAUUAAUCAAGUUCCUAUAUAUCACUAGGUUGAUGGUGGGAGCUUAAUGGAAAUGGAUAAAACAUUUCAACAAUUAAAGACAUGUAAUUUAUUUGUGUCAUGUUGCAAGUAGUAGUAGUUGUGAAAAAGUUUUUACUAAAUUUGAGGAGAAAUAUACAACAUUGAAAGGACUCUUCCUUGGGUCAAGAGAAAAACCUUUGAGAGAGCUCGAGGAGAGAACGAAGAGUGACAUUCUUUCAUCUGAGAGAAGUUUGGAAGAGAAGGAUGAUAAAAAAGGAAAUGAACAUUAUGUUGACACUUUGUCAAUUGACAAGUUACGCACUAAGGAUGUGAAUGGAAAGAAUGAAGAUGCAUGUGCUACAUCAAUUGAAGUGCAUAUCAUUCCCGAUGAAAAUGUAGAUAUUUUACCACUUUCAAUCAAAAGAACUAGAAAAGAUUAUGGAAAGGUAUAUAUAGUAUAAAAAAAAUUAUUUUCGUUACAAUUACUUAACCAUUACAUAGUAAAUAUAUGUAUAUUAAUGACAUUUUCCAUAUUAAGAACCAUUACGAGCACUAUGUGGUAUUCCCUGCCAACCCUUUGAGCUACGUUAUCAUUGAUUUCUUCAAAAAAAGGAAGAUUUUAGCCGGUGAAACCCAUAACUGAAGACCCUUAUUGAAUGUAGGGUUUCUUCUGAAAAGAGACGAAGUCGGUCAACAUAUCUGAAAAGUCUAAAUGGAGAGGACUUUGAGUUGAGUUGAUGGGGCAGCGGACCAAUUUAUUGGGACAUAUUUUCUUUCUAUCACGCUACCCUUUGAGCUGUCUCCACUUCUGAAAAGAGACAAGUCGGUCAACAUCUCUGAAAAGCCUGAAUGGAGAGGACUUUGAGUUGAGUUGAUGGGGGCAGCGGACCAGUUUAUUGGGAUUUUAACAUAUAUUUUCUCUCCAUCACGCUGCCUUUUGAGCUAUCUCUUGCAACUUUUCUUUUGUACUAGACUCUCGCAACAAAUAAAAUUAUAAAAUAAAAAUUUAAAUUUAUAAAAUCUAAUUAUUUAAAAUUAAUUAAUAUUUUACAUAUUUUUUUUUAUUAAAAUUACUAUUUUUACGGUUUAAAUAACGUCUUAACAAUAUAAAUACUAUUUUUUUACCUUUUUAAAUACUAUUUUUAAUUGAUAAGUACAUAAAAUUUAAAUUAAUUUGAAAGAAUUUUUAUUUUAUAAUUAUUUUUAUAUAAAUACAUCCAAACUCAUUUUUUUCUAACGAAUAUAAAUAUGUACGUAUAUAUAUUAUAACUGAUUCAUUAAAAUAUUUUAGACAUUUUUAAAAUUUUAUCCAAUUCCUUUUUAUAAAAUACCAUUUUUUAACGUUGAAGUCAUUUUCAAAACUACCCUCAAAUGUUUUUUCAUAUGUAAAACCAAUUCAAUCUUAUUUUAUGUAUUAAUUUUAUUUUAUGAGUUCAAAUAAUAAUAGCAUAAUAUAUAUUAAGCUACUAUACUAAAAUAUUUUAAUUAAUAUUAAUAUUUUAACAUUUUGGAUUGGAAAUACUCUGAUGAAAGAUAUUUUGCUGCCCAUGCAUUUAAUCUAAAUAUAUUAAUGUACCAUCACUUUAAUUAGGAUAUAAUUAAUCAAUUAAAAAAAUAGCAUUUAAUCAUAUAGAAAUAUAUGAUUUAUGUGAAAAACCACCAAUAAAGCAUACUAGUGACCUUACAUAUAUAAAAGUCAUAAGAUUCAUAGAUUGUCAAAUUAAAUCCACUAAAUAUGAAGAAUAAUUACAUAGAUUUAGCUAGUAAUUAUUACUCUCCCUCAAACUUAUAUUGUUAGUCACCAAUUCUCAAUUACAUAACAUAGUUACUUCCAUGUUGCUUAGUGGAUUGCUCAUGACCUUAAGGAAAUACUAUUGAAUGAUAACAUAAGGUGUGCAAUAAAAUGAGAUUGAGAAUCCUAUAAUUUGAGAGAAGGAUACUACAGUAAAAAAAAAUGGUACCCAAAUACUAUUGAAUGAUAACAUAGCUCUUGUUGCUCCUUUAUUUUUAUUUAUUUAUUUAUUUAUUUAUUUAUUUAUUAUUAUUAUUAUUAUUAUUAUUUUGUAAUUAUCUCUUUUGCUGUUUUGAUAUCAACAUUAGAAAUACAAAAGUCCAAAUUUUUUUUUAGUGCCUGCAUAUUGAAGGUUCAUGCUAUAAGAGUUGGAAAAACUUGAAUAGAAACUCCCUUGAAUGAUGUAUCAAAGCUCAAUGUAUCAAUGUUAACAUAAACAUUCGAGUAGAGUAGGAUAACAUUUCUAUGUCAUAUGAAGAAAUAUACUAAAAGGGAACCAUGAAUACGAUUGGAGAAAUAUAUAUUAUAAUUUAGAGGAUUAUUAUGGUCUAUUGAUCAUAUUCAAAUGGAAGUAAUAUGGUAAUCAAUAUUUCCAUGUCAUUUGAAAAAACAUAAUAAGAGGGAACUGUAGGGAAUCCCCCAGACGUCCACGUGGCACACCAGCCCUAUCCGGACAUCCACGUGGUGCACUAGCUCUAUCCGGGUUUCCCCCUUGUAGGGAACCCCCCAGACGUCCACAUGGCAACCCCAUGUGACACGUGGCGCGCCAGCUCUAUCCGAGUCCCCCAGGGGGGCACACGACACUCUCAAAUAUUCUACCCGAACGACGCUCUACUUUAUCCGGAUAUAUUGUCCGGAUCAUUAGCCGUAAAACGCAAGCCAUGCUGAGUCACCUCAGACAACCUGUCACAGCCCGCAUUCCGCUGCCUACAGAGCGAAAGGACAGGAGUGAUGGCAAGUCACCUCCCACGAUUUCUGACAGCCGCCUGCAGGGUGAUGAUGAUUCUGCCAUCACCUCAAGGACAUCAUGACAAGCCAAAAAGUCUUCCCACCAUUAAAGAGGGGAGCAGAACUUCUGACACUAUAAAAAAGGGCCUUCACGCAAAGAGGAAGGUAAGCUAUUUGACUCAGAAAAAGGGCAACAGAUUGAUCCUUUGGGCCAUGGCUAACAAAACCAUCGGAGGGUGUGUCCGGACACCCUGUCCGGACAACUUUUGCAGGAUUGACUGAGCCAGAAAUCAUCCUUGGUUGAAAGCGCGCGUCCCCUUGGCAUCUACGUGGAUCCCUGGGACACGAGGCAUCAGCAGGAACCAUGCAUGAAUAUGAUUUGAGAAAUAUAUAUUAUAAUUUAGAGGAUUACUACCUUAUAUUGGUUAUAUUCAAAUGAAAGUAAUAUGGUAAUAAUAUUUAAUCGAUAAGAAAAUAGGUUAUGAACAAGUCAUAUUAUAACUACCUCAAAAAUCAAUAAUACAAGGAUGAAAGAGGUAUAGUGAGGAAGGGUCACACCUAAAGGAUCACUUUAUUAGCACAAGUAGGAAAAUGUUAACAUAGGGUUAUGCAUUUAAGUGUAACAUGAUUGAAUUCUAUUACAAUGUCUAAAAUUUAAAUAAUUGCAUACCUCUUUUCUGAUUUUGCUCAUGCCAUUAAGAUUUUUUAUCCACAAGAAACAACCUAUAUUUAAAAAAAUGAAAAAAAAAAUCUUAUUUUAAAAUAGUAAGAAAUUUAUUGUUCUUAUAAAUAAAAAAGAAUAUAAUUGUUUAAUACUUAAAAAAAAAAUCCAAAGUUGAAAAUCUAAGAGCCUAUUUGGUCUCGUGUAAUUUAAAAAUAGUUUUAUGUUUUUAAAAAUAGAAAACUGUUUUUAAAAUUUUUUAACAUUGUUUGGUUGUCGUUCUCUAAAAACAAUUUUUAAAAAUAAACUGAAAUAGAGAAUAAUUUUUAGAGAACAAGUAUAAGUUGUUGUUACUAAUUUUUAUAAAUAAAAGAAAAAUAUGGAUCCGUUUGGCCAUGUUUAUUUAAACUUGUUUUUAAAAACUAUUUUUAUUCUUUAAUUUAAAAAUAUAUUUUUUUAAAAAAAUUAAGAAAAUAUGGCCAAACAAACCUUAAAUAUUUAUAGUAAUUUUCUAAUUUUUCAUCUCAUAAGUAGUCAAACUCUAAUAUCUCACUAUUAACAUAUUACAAAUGCAUUAUCAACUUUUUAAGUGACACAACAUUUUGCAUAUUAAAGGGAAUGUAGAAUUAUAAAAUUAUUAUUAUAGGACAAAUGCCUUUUUAAACAUAUGAACAACCUAAUUUUGAAAAAGAGAAAAAAAAAUUAUAAAGAGCACAAUUUUUAUUUUAUUUUUUUAUUUUUAUAGUGCUCAUAAAUAAGUUAAAACAACAAAUAAAAAAUAUUAAUUUACUAAAAAAUCUAAGUUUUUGAAACGUAGUAAAAAUCCACUAUGUAUGUCACACCCCAAGACCCACUCCAAGGGCAUCACAGUCAUUUCACACCUCAAACCUGAAGGCUUAAAGUAUAACUUGACUCAAACAAUCAUAUUAUAACUAGAAGUAACCAAUUACCAAAAACCUGUUCAGAGUAGCAGAACAAAUUCUAAAAUCUUCAAACUUAACUUUAAAACUAAGCAUCCAUCAACCAAAAUCCAUUAUCCAAAUAGAUUGCAAACUCAAAUAAAUCAAGUGCUAACCAAAUUUUCAUAAUCUCCAAAUCUCAACUUCAAACUUAUCAAAAAAAAUAUUUAAAAGUGCAAUAUCUAAAUAGCUUCCAAAAACCAUACAAUCCAAAUGAACAUAAACUUAUAAGCUAACAAUGUCCAAAUAAUAUCCUAAGCAAAAUCCUAAUAAUGACCAUUCCCCGACCUAGCCAUCACUCCUCGCCCGAACUAAGGGUGCCUGAAAGUAAUCAACAAAUAGGAAUGAGCUCCAAGCCCAAUAAGGAACAUUAAUGUAGUCCAUGGAUCAAAUAUUUCAAGUUCACUUGCAAAAUAUGAGAUAUUAUAACCAAUUAUUUUCAUAAACCUUUGAGUCAGUUUUGCCAAUACAUUCAAAACUUUUAAUUGUACACUUUCAUUUCUGAUUCAAGCAUUUUCAUAUCAAAUUCAAUCAAAACAUUCAAAUUAUUUAUUUACUUUGUUCAUCAAACAUCAAAUGGUGCCCAAUUAGGUGUGACUUUUCAAAUAGGUGGCUAGCCUCAAAUUGUUCCUUUAAGGUGGGUGGAACCAAACACUGCUAGUAUUAGUAACCUCUAACCAAACCCCUAGAGGUUGGGGUCCAAAUCAAUUACAUUUCCCACCAAGAAAUGUAAAUGUCAACUAUUAUAUCUCGUUGACAAGGGUCAAAUAAACCAGAGUCAAACACUUAUUUCAAUUAUUCAAAUUUGCAAAACAUAAUAUCUCCACAUUUCUCUAUUGUAAACAAAAUAUAAGGUUCUAACAUACUUUUCAUGCAAAAUAUAUUUGAUUUAUGCAUAAAACGAAUAAUAACUCAAAAUGUUUCCAAAUGAUGUAUAUAAAAAUGUGUUUCUAAAAAUAAUAAUAACUGCAUUAAUUUCCCUUACCUCAAAAGAAGUCCUUGAAAACUUGGAAGAAAAAUAAUCCUGAAAAUUUACUCUUUACCUAACAAAAUAUAAGAGAAAUAACAAUUACUAUUUAUCUAAAAUUAUAGGUUUGACAAUUCUAAAAUUUUAGGUAUUCAAAUUAAUGUUUUUAAUUAUGAAAGAUAAUUUAAUCUAUUCAUAUUUAAAAAAAAAUUAAUAAAUUUUUAAUUCAUAUAAAACUUAAUUUAUUUUUAAUUUAUUUCUUGGGACACAACUUAAUUUAAUUAAACUAUAAUUUAUUUCACUAAUUAAUUUCUAUGUUAUUUAUUAACUUACACUCGUUAUUAGUAUAAUUAUAAUACCAAAAACUUUACUUUCUUUUAUUUAUAAAUUAUAUUUUCUCACUUUCAAGUUUUUUUUUCACCAAACAUAGCUAUACACAACAACUCUCCAUCAUUGCUAUAUAUAUAUAUAUAUAUAUAUUAACCACCCCAAUACCAUCCGUACACAUAUUCUUUUAUUAAAUAAUACAGUACCCAUCAAAGUCUAAUAACACAAAGCCCUGCCAUUAUUAAAUAAUACAGUACUCAAUACUCAAGUACCCAUCAAAGUCUAAUAAUACGGAGUCCUGCUACUAUUAAAUAUUACAUACCCAAGUAUCCAUCAAAGUCUAAUAAUCAAUGUUUUAAAAAUCGGACCGGAUCGGCCGGUCCGACCAGUCCAACCGUCGACCAGUCACCAUUCCGGUCCGAUCCGGUCAUUUGGACCAGAUUGAGAUCGAAUCGGGGUUGAACCGCUUGAACCGGCAAUUCAACCGGUGAACCGAACGAACCAGUCGGUUCAAAUGAUUUUAAUUUUUUUUAAAAAAAAUUACAAAAUGAAAAUAUUAUCCUCUCAUUGAUGGAAGGAUUCCAUAAAAUUUAAAUGGUUUUUACUAAAGCACAUGUUGGGCCCGUCUUAUGACACAGCCCACAUACCCAUUCCACUUACUGUGGGCUGAGUUUUGAGCCCACAAGACCAUCUAAAGCCUUUGUUGAGGAUGGCUUUUAUAGAAGUCAUUUGACUCCUUGUUCCUCUCAAUUUUUGAUGUGGGAUUGCUAAAUAUCAAAGAAAAAAACAUAACAAAACUCCAGCAAGAAGUUUUGAACCUUGGACCAGCCCCUGUACUAUAUUCCACCUAGGACACCACUCGGCUACAUGUAUUUUAUUAUCUAAUAUGCCAAACAAAACAACACAUAUUAGAUUUUAAAUUUUUUUAUAAUAUUAAAUAAAAAUAAUAUAAUAUUUUUAAAAAUUAUGAAAUUAGUUUAAAUUUUCAUUUUUUUAUAUAUUCACAUUUAAAUAUUAUACAUAUUUCAUUUAAUAAAAUUUAAAAUAUUAAUAUGAUUUAAUUUGAUAAUAUCAAAUAUAUAAAAUAAUAUUAUUGAUGUUUAAUUUAUUCAUAUAUAUUUUAAAAUUUUUAUAAUUAUUUUUAAUUUUAAUAAUAUAUAAAUUAUAUAUUUAUGACGUCACCGGUUCGAUUCCGGUCCGACCAGUGAACCGUGAAUCGGUAACUUUUCCGAUUCAAUCACCGGUCCGGUUUUGAAAACAUUGCUAAUAAUAGAGUAUGUGAAAAUCCACCAACUAGAUUUCAACCAUGAAAUCCUUACAAAAAAGGUUGAUGCACAAUUCCUACACGCAUGCAACCAGUGCACACAUGUUUUUUUUCACCAACCUUCUAUUUUCCAAUGCACACGAGUUCUUUUUUUUUUUGUUAAAUCUAAUCUCUUAAGCCACAAUUAACAAUAUAUUUAUUUAUUAUUAUUUAAAAAAAUAAAUAAAUUAACCCUAGUCUAAAUCGAAAUCUUCCCAAGAAUUUUUUUUUUUCCCCAUCUAAAAAAACUUAAGAUCUCCCAAAUUCCAACAAUAAAUCAAAAUCUUAAAAUUUCACUAUUUUGAUAUUAAAACAAAUUAAAAAAAAAUAAUAAACUAACCCUAAUCUAGAUUUGGGUUUUCCAAAAAAAAUAUUUAAUGUGCUUAAAAUUAACUAAUGAAUCUAAAAUAUUAAUCUAGGGGUUAGAAUCUUACCUAUAGAGAUCUGUUCUUCAAACCCUGAAAUCUGACUCCAAUCUUACAUUCUCAGGAACUCUCUGCAAACAAGAACACGAUUCAGAAAAGAACAAGAAGAACAGAAUUCGAAUUUAUACAUAGGGUAUUUAUUCGUAAAAUUACCUUUUCACCCCUCUUCCAUUUUAUUAAAUUAAUUAAUUAAUUAAUUUAAUAUUGUUAUUAAUAAGAAUUUCCUAAAAAGAAACUUGGGCGUUACAGUGUAAGUUGAACAAUUAAACAAUAAUUCAAAAUUAUCCUGUUGUAUUUUAAACUGGAAGUAGCUAGACACUCAUGGGUUUAUCAAAAUCUUGUCUCUAUUCUCCACAGAUCAUAAAUAAGUUAAAGAAAAAAUAAAACCAAGAAGAAAAAUGUACUAUAAGGUAUAUUUAUUCCAAGCUCGUCGAAACAUUGAGAGCACCUAUUUACAAAAUUGUAUUGAAGUCAUGUAACAAUUGAAUCCAACUCAUGCGACUCAUUGUUUUUUUUUUUUUUUUUUUUCUCAAAAAUAGAUUUUUUAAUUGAAAAAGAAAAAAGACAAAUUGUUGAUGGUCUUGAAGUAAUUCAAAGGAUAACCCUCUAAGGUAGGCACCAAAAACCACAAUGUCAAAAGAUGGUAAAACUAAGAAUAUAUGAAGAGCCGAUACAUUAAGUAGGAUUUUUUUAUAAGAUUACGGUGGUUUUAAAAAUAAAUUCCCAAACUAUCGUAGUGGGAAAAAUAAUUCCCAAUCUAUCGUAAUUUUUGCUAGGUAGGAAAGAUGGAUUAUUUUUUUAAAUCGUCUCUUCAAAAGACAAUUUAUGACCUUUUUAAAAAAUUAUAAAAAAAAUAAAUCAUCUUUCUAAAAUAUGAGAAAUUGUCUCUUAAAGAUACGAUUUUGGCAAAAAAAAAAAAAAAAAAUCUUAAAAAAUCCAUUUUUACAUUCCCUACUAUACUUAUAUAAUAAUAUUAUUAUUAUAAAUAUAUGUUAAAAAAUAAUUUAAUUUUAUUUACUAAAUUUAAUAUAUAGUAUAAUAUACUAAAUUUAAUAUAAGAUAAAUAAUAUUUAUCUUUUUUUUUUCUUUCACUUUGAACUAUUAUCAAUUUUAUGUGAAAAUGAGUUUUAAAAAACAAAUUUGUUAUUAAUUUAUUAAGAAAAAAUAAGAAGUGAGAAAUCAUAUGACUAUUUUCACAAAAAAAUUAAAAAAAAUUCAUAAAAAAAAAGAAGAAAAAUUCAAAAAUCUAUUUUUCCAUUCCCUACUAUACUUCUACAAUAAUACAAUUAUUAUAAAUAUAUAUUAUAAAAAUAAUUAAUUUUAUUUAAUAAAUUUAAUAUUUUUCUAUUUUUUUUCUAAAAAACAAAUUUAUUAAAAAAAUCAAAAAUUGAGAAAUCGUCUCUUGAAGAGACGAUUUUCACAAAAAAGAAAAAAGAAAAAUUCAAGAAUCCAUUUUUCCAUUCUCUAUUAUACUUAUACAAUAUACAAUUAUUAUAAAUAUAUAUUAUAAAAUUAAUUAAUUUUAUUUACUAAAUUUAAUAUAAGAUAAAUAAUAUUUAUCUAUUAUUUUUUUUCUUUCACUUUGGAAAAAAAACUAUUAUCAAUUUAUGUGAAAAACGAGUUUAAAAAAAAUGAAAAAAAUAAGGCAUUUAAAGCUUCCAACUUUUGAAUAUCACUUUUUGCAUUCCAAAGGUUGUCUAAAAUGCAUUUUACUUCUAAUUACAUUUCUACGAGAUUUUUUUUACAUUUUCAUGAAUUUUGAUUAAUUUUAGGUCUAUCAAUUUUUUUUUUCAAAAUAUCUGUCUAUAUAUAUAUAUAUAUAUAUACAUAUAUGAUAUAUCUUAUAUAUCUGUAAAAUUGAAGUACCAAUAUAUUUGUAAUUAUCGAUAUUUUCAUCCUUGAUAUGAAUAAUGUUAUUGGCUUUUUAUAAUCAUGAUAGUAGGUGACUUUGAUUCUUUAAUAUUAAAAACAUUUGAUAAUUAAGGAAAACAAUGGUAUUUAUAUUUAUGAUAUAGUGUCUUUGAAUUUCAGGGCUUUUAUUUGGAUAUAUAGUUUUUGAAAAAUGAUUUCUUUUUUUUUUUUUUAUUGUUUUUUAUUUGAUUGAUUUUCUUCGAACCUAUGACAUUAAAAAUUGAAAAAAGAUAAAAAAAAUUUAUAUAAAAUUUUUUUUCUCAAAUUUUUCUUAAUAAAAAAUAGUUAAUCAUUUCUAAUUUUAAGUGUAUUAAAUUAAUUUUAAAGACAUAUUUUAUUAUUUUUUUCAAAUUACUUUAGUUGUUUAUCAUUUAUAAUUACUAAAUAAAAUAUCUUAAUACAAAACUUAUUACUAUUUCUUUUUAAAUUGAUUAAUACUCAAAAAAUUAUAUCUCUUAAUGUUCAAAUUUUUAUUGAAAUUUAAUUUAUUUUUUUAUAUUUUAUUCCUUUCACAGUGAAAUUUUAAAUUAAAGAUUAAUAUUUUUAAUUUUAAAAUUUAUAUGAUAAAAUUAAUUAAUUUUAAAAUUUAUACAAUAAUACAAUUAUUAUAAAUAUAUAUUUAUAAUAAUUGUAUUAUUGUAUAAGUAUAAUAGGGAAUGGAAAAAUGAAUUUUUUUUGUUUUGUUUUGUUUUUUUUUUGUAAAAAUCAUCUCUUAAAGACAUGACUUCUCACUUUUUGUUUUUUUAAAAAAAAAAAUAAAUUAAUAAUAAAUUUGUUUUUAAAAUAAUAGAUAAAUACUAUUUAUCUUAUAUUAAAUUUAAUAUAUUUAGUAAAUAAAAUUAAUUAAUUUUAUAAUAUAUAUUUAUAAUAAUUGUAUUAUUGUACAAGUCUAGUAGGGAAUGGAAAAAUGCAUUUUCUUUUAUUUUCUUGUGAAAGUCGUCUCUUGAAAAGACAAUUUCUCACUUUUUUUUUUGUUUUUUUAAUAAAUUAAUAACAAAUUUGUUUUUUUUUAACUCAUUUUUUCACAUAAAAUUGAUAACAAUUUUUAUUUUUUUAAAUUUAAAAAGUGAAAGAAAAAAAAUAAUAGAUAAAUAUUAUUUAUCUUAUAUUAAAUUUAGUAAAUAAAAUUAAUUAAUUUUAUAAUAUAUAUUUAUAAUAAUUGUAUUAUUAUAUAAGUAUAGUAGGAAAUGGAAGACUGGAUUUUUAAAGUUUUUUUUUUGUGAAAAUCAUCUCUUCAAGAGACGAUUUCUUACUUCUCUCUCUCUCUCUCUCUCUCUUGUUUUGCCAAAAUCUUGUCUUCAAGAAAUGAUUUCUCAUAUUUUAGAAAUUGUGUCUUGGUGUUAUAAAUUGUCUUUUUGAAGAGACAAUUUAAAAAUAAAAAAAAAAAAAUUCUCUCUUUCCUACCUAGCAAAAACUACGGUAGAAUUGGAAUUAUUUUUCCCACUAUGGUAGUUUAGGAAUCGUACUCUUAUAAAAAAUCCCAUUAAGUUAUGUUGGUUUGAGUUAAUAAUUUUGUUCUAUUAUUUUGACAUAUGAUUUUUUUUAAAAUUGUAUGUCUUACUUUCUAUUGAAGGUUUAAGGUUGUUUCAUGAUUAACCGAAAUGACACAAGUAAAUAAAGGUCAGAAAAACACUAAUAGGAUCUAUAUAAUACUUGUAGUGGACAGAAGAUUUUUUUAAGAUUGACCAAAAAUGUUAUUAAAAAAAAAUUAAGGACACUCGAGUCCUAAUGGAAAAAUUCCAAUUUUGUGUAAUUCAAUUAAUUUUAUAGUUAUAAUUAGAUUAAUUAUAUAAUUGUAGUUAUAUUUAUUUUACAAUUAUAUUUAAAUUUAUUUGAAAAUCUUAAUUUGAGUUUACUAGAUAUUUGUAUUAUAUAAAUAUCUUGUCUAAUUAGGUUUUUUGUCUUAUACAAAUAAAAAAAAAAAAACCUUAUUAGCUUUCUUAUUCCUAAAACUCUCAAAGGAAUUCAAUUUACUCCUACCAAGUUGUAAAGACAUUUGCAUCCCCUCAGGUGUUGAGGUGAGAUUCAUUGGAAGGACACAACAUGUUACAUCGUGGAUGUAGAAUGCAAUGUAAGCAAGCAUUGGAGAGUAAGUCUUAGGGUAAUGUUUUUCAAGUAAAUCUACGUAUUAUAUUCGCAUAUAACGGAAUAUAGAUUUAAAGUCUCUAACCUAACUCAUUGGUUUUUUUUUUUUUUUUUUUAUCUCUGCACAUUGUGAGAAGGUUUUCUUCAUAAAAAACUCUUUUUCAAUAUUAUGUUUGAUUGUUUUUUAGGCUUCUCUAAUUUAGAAUUGAGAUAGUUUAAUAAUUAAAUAUAUUUAAUUUAAGGCUUAAAAGGGUUAAACACCUAUUCACCCCUAGGUGUCAUACUAUAUCAAAUAACUUUCAAUGUUGGUGAAAGUUUCUUCUUCAAAAGAGCUUUAACACGUGAUUGUUCUUCAAGGGAGCUUCCAAAGAGCUCAAGGGGCCUUUUUCUUAUCCAAUGUUUUAAUCUCACUCUCAACCAAUGGUAAAAGAAUAAACUUAAUCAUUAAAGAUUAAAUCUAACCAUGAAAGUAUCCAACUCACCUCAACAUAUGUUUUGGAUUUUUUUCAAGAAAGAAUGCAAGAGAGAUGAUUGAGAUGCUUCUGAGAGGAGAGAGUGAGGACAUAUAAAGGACGUUUUGUGCAAGUAAAGAAUCAUUUAUUUUCCAAGGAGAUAUACUUGCUUCUUCACUAAACUGGGAAUGGAUUUAAAUAGCUCCAUUAGGAGUGUAAAUGAAUAAAUAAAAGAAAAGAAAAAUGUGUCCAACAAUUUAUUGAAACCGUAAAGUGAAAGUAAUACAAGACCAUAAUGGGAAAUCCCACAUAUUUAGUAGUAUUUGGGCUUUGUUGUAUUGAAACUUUGGUGUAAGAAAUUUGAAAAUACUUCUAUAUAAUUAUUAAAAAAAAAAAUAGUAGAAUAAGAUAGUCCUUUCGACAUAAUUGAGGCAUUAAAUUUAAGCACUCUAAAGUUAUCAUCUUUACAAAUAAUAAAGAAGUUUUUGCAUCGAGACCAAUUGAAUAUGAUUUGUAUAUUCUUAAUUUUCAUUUUCUUAUCUUUUGUCUUCCUAUACCUACAAGCCUAUUUAGAGAAAGACCUUUUAUCGAAAAAUGAGAGUUCAGAGUUAUUUUCCUUUGAAAAGAGAGUGGAUCGGAAGAUCUUUAUUGAAUAUAGGGUUUCUUCUAAAACAAGAUGAAGUAAAUUAGCAACUCUGAACAAUCUGAAGGAAAAGGAAUUUGAGUUAAGUUGACGGGGUGUGCGACACUUUAUUGGGACUUUAAGAGAUAUUUUCUCUUUCACGCUAUCCUUUGAAAUUGAGUUGUGUUCGCUUUCAACUUAAUUUUUUCUCUCUGUUUUUCUAAUGAAAAUAUAUCUUUUGUUGGGGGAAAAUAUUUUUUUGAAUGUAUAUAUUCAAAUGGAAGGUAAGCGAAAAAAAAAAUGAUAAAAAAUGGGUGUGAUGAAAUUUCAAAUUAUUGAUCAUCAUAUGUAUUUAACCUAAAUCUUAAAAAAUUAAAUGCAAUUAACUCAUUAAAUUUGUUCAAUAAGACUUUUUAUAAAUAAUUUUUGAAUCAUGUAGCAUCCAAAACAAAAAACUUUGUAAAAGAUAUAAUUAACGAUAACAUAAAAUUAUUAAAAUAUUUAAAAUUAAAUAAUAUAAAGAAACAAUAAAAUGGUUCAUUUAUGUUGUUAGAACCAUUGUUUUAAAAAUUGGUCGCUCCGAUCGAUCGGAUGGUCCAUCAAUGCCCUUUCCAGUCCGAUCUAGGGAAAUGGACAGAGACAACCGACGAUCAGACCAUCGACCAUUCUUCAUGGACCGGUCAAGGUCAAAACCUAAAUGGGCUUAAUCCAUUCAUUCCUAACCCGUUUGCAAGUAUAAAUACCUAUCUAUUGGCCCAAAUUCAUUCAUUCCAAGCCCAUUUGCUUGUUCUCAAGAUCUACAUGAAUAAAUACCCUAUAAGUGGUUUAUAGAUUUCCGAUGUGGGAUGGGUUUUGAUAAUAAUGAAAGGAGCUUUGCAUGGUGGGGAAUUGAACCUAGGACUUAUUUUUAACAAAAUGAUAGCACACCACUAUGCUACAAAGCUAUUUGAUAAAUAUCUAUAUAUCUGUUUUUUUAAUUUCUAUCAUAUAAAACAUUUAAACAAAUAUAAAUAUUUAUAUCUACUAUUAUUUUUAUAAUAAUUAUUAAUUAUAAACAUGAAAAUAAUAUAAAUUAAUCAAUAUAAUAAUUUUUAAAAUAACAAAAUACAUAGAUAUAUAAUUAAAUUAAAUAUUAUAAUUUUCUUUUCAUAUUUAAAUAUUAUACAUAUUCUAUUUAAUAAAAUUUAAUAUAUUAAUACAUUUAUAUUUGUAUUUAUCAUUUAAUUUGACAUAUUGAACAUAAAAAAUAAAAUAUUAUUAAAAAUUUUAAUAAAAUAUAUUUUAAUUUAUUAUAAUUUUAUUAAAAUAUAAAUUAUAUAUUUAUAAUGUCAUUGAUUCGAUCGCGGUUUGACUACUGGUUCAACUAGUGAAUCGUGAACUGAUAACUUUUUCGGUUCAAUAUUCGGUCCGAUUUCGAAAACAUUAGUUAAAACUUUUUUAUUUAUAGAAAAUGCUAAUUAUGCUUUAAAGUUGUAGGAUGUUAAAAGCCCAAAUACAUACCUACAUAUUUUCUUAUUUAUCUCCUAGUAUCUUUACCAAGUGAUAGAUAUAUUGGUGGCCAAGCAUUAUCAUCAUCAUUAUUUAUCUCCUAACAUCUUUAUGAAGUGAUAGGUGUAGGAAGAGUGUAAAUAAUUUUUAUUUUAUUUUAUUCUAUUAGUUUUAUAUUUUUUGGGAAGAUUCCUAUUGAGAAUUAUUUUUAUUUUAUUUUAUUCUAUUAGUCUUAUAUUUUUGGGAAGAGUCUUAUUGGGAUUGUGCUAGUGGAGUCCCAUUCCUUUUAUAAGUAGAAUCCCCUUCCACUUUGAGUCAUGUUUUAAUUACAAGUAGAUUCACAUUAGGACUGUGUUAGUGCCUAUAAAAGCAAGUCACCUUUCACUCUCUAUAUACCAAUACCAAUUUUUCAAAGAAUUUUUCAGAGAGUUUUUCAAAGAGUCUUUUCAUACAUCUAUCUGGAUGAUUUUUUUCAAAAACCUAAGCUGUAUAUAUCUCGCUUAUAGAGUACACCCAAGGCGAGAUUUGGGUGUUGAAUCUCGGAGAUAGACCAUUGGUACCCUAGUGUACCAAAUUUGUCUUCGAGGAUGGUGGAUCUAUUUCAAGGACAGUGUUUGUCAUGCCUUAGUCAAUAAGUUUUUCUUCUUAUUAAUCAUGUUCUUUGUUUGUGUCUUUUGGGCUAGUAAUUUGUUUCCAUAUCCUUAAUCCAACAAUCUUGAAAUAUAUCCAAAUGUAAGCUUCUCUAGUUCACACCAGUCUUGAGACCUCUAAAAUUGAUCCCUUCAAUGGGACAUUCUUUAAGAAAUGGCAGGAAAAGGUUUUCUCUACAAUUGAUAUAAUGAAUUUGGGACACAUUUUGACUGACCCAAUACCAGAAGAUGGUUCUCAUUUGUUACCAACCUGGGAAACUGGAAAUAAACAAGUUAGGCAUGCUAUUCUAAGUACCCUUUCUAAUGAAAUUUUUUAUAUUUAUUGUCAAUUUAAAGUUGCAAACGAAACUUGGGAUGCAAUGAAUAAAAAAUAUAGUUUGGAAAAUGCAAGAACUCAGAAAUAUGCCAUAGGGAAUUUUAAAAUUUUCCAAAUGACUGAGGAUAGAGAUGUAUCAUCUCAAAUCCAUGACUACCACUUGUUAAUUAAUGACUUAGCUAUUGAAGACAUUAAAUUACUCGAACAUUUUGUAGCUGGUUAUUUAGUAGAGACUUUUCUAGAGUCUUGGAAAGACUAUAAAAAUAACAUGAAACAUAAAAGAAAACAAAUGUCCCUAGAGGAUGUCAUAAUCCAUAUUAGGAUUGAGGAACAAAACUGAAAUAGGGACAAUGCUGAGAAAGUUAAGGAAUUGUCUUCUAAGACUAAUGUAGUAGAAGAAAAACCUAAACCCCAAAAUAAUAGGUCCAAGAAACAAACUCUAGGAACAAGCCCAAUGCAUCAAACAAGAUCCAAAACCCAACUAUUAAAAAAAAAAAAGAGUAAGGAUCUUGUUUGACUCUGAUAAAAUAGUUUUAACCAAGAAUGAUGCAUUUGUGGGGAAGAGCUAUUGUAAUAAGGGUUUAUUUAUGUUGAAUGUUUAUGAUAUUAUCAAUAAUAAUGCAUCUUUUUUUUUUUUUGCUUACAUAGUUGAUUCUUGUGAUAUUUGGCAUGGUAGACUAGGACAUGUGAACUUUUCAUAUAUGAAGAAAAUGGUUAAAUUGAGUUUAAUCCCUAAAUUGUCCUUAGAAAACCAUGGAAAAUGUGAAUCUUGUGUAGAAUCUAAAACCAUAAAGAAAUCUUGCAAAUCAGUUGAAAGAGAAUCAAAUCUACUAAGUUUAAUACACAGUGACUUAGGAGACCUAAAAAAUACAAUGACUAGAGGUAAACGAUUCUACAUAACUUUCAUAUAUGACUACUUAAGGUAUACAAGGGUAUAUCUUAUGCUUUCAUCAAGUACAAAAAUGAAGUGGAAAAUCAACGAAGUAAGAAAAUUUAAAAACUUAGAACUGAUAGGGGAAGAGAGUAUGUGUCCAACCCCUUUAAUUCUUUUUGUGAAGAUCAUGAGAUCAUUCACAAAACCACUCCUCCUUAUUCCCUGAAGUCUAAUGGAGUAGUAGAAAGGAAAAAUAAGACCUUAAAAGAAAUGAUGAAUGCAAUGUUGGUAAGUUCAGGAGCACCCUUGAACUUGGGAGAGGAAGCUAUCCUAUCUGCAUGUCAUAUUCAAAAUAGAAUACCUUAUAAGAAAACUGGAAAAACUCUUAUGAGUUGUGGAAGGGUUAUGCACCUAAUAUAGCAUACCUGAAAGUGUGGGGGUGUUUAGCUAAAGUUCUCUUCCUUGAACCUAAAAAAUGAAAACUAGGUCCUAAAACCUUUAAUGCAAUGUUACUAAGUCAGAAAACAGUCUUGUAGAUGUUAAUAUUAUAAUGGAAACAAAGAAUGCAGAUUUCUUUGAAAACAUAUUUCCUAUGAAACUAAAUGGUGAACAACAAGUUUAAAAAACAAGUAGAGACAAGUCUAUUGAACCUUUUGAAUUUGAACCUAGAAGGAGUAAAAGUGAUAGGAAAGAAACAAACCUUGGAGAUGGUUUCUACACCUUCCUAAUAGAUGAGGACCCUGAUCCUACAAAGAAGCUAUAACUUUUCCUGAUGCACCAUUCUAGAAGGAUGCCAUUAAUAGUGAAAUCGAAUCAAUCAUGUAUAACCAUACAUUGGAGUUAGUAGAUUUACCUCCUGGUGCAAAGACUAUUGGCUGUAAGUGGAUCUUUAAAAGAAAGUUAAAACAAGAUGGGUCCAUAGAGAAGUAUAAAACUCAUUUAGUUGCCAAAGGCUUUAAACAAAGGAAUGAUGUAGAUUACUUUGACAACUUUGCCCCUAUGACUAGAAUAACAUCAAGUAGAGUAUUGAUCGCUCUAGCUUCCAUUCAUAAUUUGGUUAUACACCAAAUGGAUGUCAAGACUGCAUUCUUGAAUGGGGAUUUGGAAGAGAAAAUUUAUAUGGAACAACCUGAGGGUUGUGUAGUUCCAAGGAAGGAGAAAAAGGUGUGUAAGUUGGUUAAAUCACUAUAUGGGUUAAAAAAAAGCUCCCAGACAGUGGCACAACAAGUUUGAUCAUGUGUUAGUAACUAAUGGAUAUUCCAUUAAUGAUGCUGAUAAGUGUAUCUAUAAUAAGUAUGAGGAUAACACAUGUGUAGUCAUUUGCCUUUAUGUUUAUGACAUGCUGAUCUUUGGAACUAGCCUAGAGAUUGUGUGUGAGACCAAGAAAUACCUAGGUCCUAAGUUUGAUAUGAAAGAGCUAGGAGAGGCAGAGGUGAUUCUAGGAAUUAAAAUAACUAGAACACCUAAUGAGCUUAAAAUUUCUCAAGAGCACUAUGUUGAAAAGAUCCUAAGGAAGUUUGAACACUUUGAUUGUAAACUAGUGUCAACUUCUUAUGAUCCUAGCUCACUGCUGAAGAAAAAUAGAGAACAUAGUGUUGCCCAAAUAGAGCAUGCUCAUAUCAUAAGGAGCCUAAUGUACUUGAUGAACUGUACCAGACCUGACAUUGCUUAUGCAGUAGGUAGAUUGAGUCGAUACACCCAAAGUCCUAAUUAGGACCAUUGGACUAUUGUUCCUAGAGUCCUUAAGUAUUUGAGAGGCACCAUUAACUAUGGUUUGUGCUUUAGUGGAUUUCCAAGUGUCCUUGAAGAAUUUAGUGAUGCAAAUUGGAUCUCGGAUUCAGAUGUGAUGAAAUCCACUAGUGGAUAUGUUUUCAUCUUUGGUGGAAGUAUAGUUUCUUGGAAGUCUACCAAGCAAACUUGUAUUACUUGGUGUACUAUGGAGGCUAAGUUUAUUACCUUAGAAAAAACAAGUUUUGAGGUUGAGGGGCUUAGAAACCUCUUAGCAGAUAUCCCUUUAUGGAAGAGACCAACCCCGUCUAUGUCUAUGCGUUGUGAUAGCCAAGCUACAAUUGCUAAGGCUAAGAGUAAAAUAUUUAAAGGGAAGAAUAGGCAUGUACGGCUAAGGCACAAUAUUGUGUUGUAGCUUCUUGAAACAGAGGUUAUAUCCUUAGAAUUUGUGAGGUCAAAGUUGAAUUUGGCCGAUCCUUUGACCAAACCACUAAAUAAGAAACUAGUGGAAGAAACAUUGAGGGGGAUGGGGCUUAUGCCUAUUACAGAAGUCAAGAGGGGGGGGGGGGGGGGGGGGGGGGAACCCCCCCCUUUAAAAAGGAAAUUCCCUGAAGAGGGUUCUAUGGGGAAAAAAAAAACCCUUUUUGACUUGGGGCCCCUAUCAACCCUAAUUUUUGAAAAUCUUUCCCUUUUGGGGGAAAAAAAGCGGAUUUCCCCUUUUUUAAGGGUGAAAGUUUUCCCCUUAAAAAAAACCCAAUUCCCUUGGGGGAAAAUGUUUAAAAGGCAAAAAAACUUGGGGGGUCCCCCCAUAUGAAAAGGGGGGGGGGGCCCCCUCCCUUGAAAAAUUAGGGAGUUUCUCUAAAAAUUUCCUGAAAAUCCCAAAAAAAGCCAUGACCCAUUUUUGCCCACCCCUUUUNNNNNNNNNNNNNNNNNNNNNNNNNNNNNNNNNNNNNNNNNNNNNNNNNNNNNNNNNNNNNNNNNNNNNNNNNNNNNNNNNNNNNNNNNNNNNNNNNNNNGGGGGGGGGGGGGGGGGGGGGGGGGUAACCCACCCUAUUAGAAUGGAAAUUCCAUGAAGUAGGUUCAUAUGGGUAAUAACAAAUCACUUGUUGACUUGAGGUCCUAUAUCAACUCUAAUUGUAUGAGAGUCUAUCCUUAUGGUGUAGAUAGAGCGUAUUCUGCAUUGAUUAAGGUUGAAUGUUUACUCUUAAUGAAUACCAUAUUCCUUAUGGAUGAUAUGUUUAAAUGCAUAAUAUACUUGAUGGAUUCACCUAUAUGAGAGUGGAGGUGGGGCCGCUUCCUAUGAGAACUUAGGUAGUUUCUCUAGAAUUCUCAUGAAUAUCCAAGUAGAGCGCAUGACCUAUUUGUGCCAACCCGUUUUGUACAACUCGUAGUGUAGUUGAGAAAACCAAUGUGGAUAAAAUUCCAUUGAGUUACAUUAAGAAACACUGGUUCAUAGAAAUUUAUUUUCACCCUGUUUUGUAAUUCAAUACUUAUUUGUCCUAAGACUAGUUCAUAGCCUUUGGGCACCAAUACUGAUGCAUUGGAUUCUUUUUUCCUAAAAAUAAAAAUAAAAAUAAAUAAAUAAUCAUGUUUACACUUUGUGGGAGAUUGUAGGAAAAGUAUAAAUAAUUUUUAUUUUUAUUUUAUUUUAUUCUAUUAGUCUUAUAUUUUUGGGAAGAGUCCUAUUGGGAUUGUACUAGUGGAGUCCCAUUUCUUUUAUAAGUAGAAUCCCUUUCCACUCUGAGUCAUGUUCUGAUUACAAGUAGAUUCCCAUUGGGACUGUGUUAGUGGCUUAUAAAAGCAGGUCACCCCUCACUCUCUAUAUACUAAUACCAAAUUUUCAGAGAAUUGUUUAGAGAGUAUUUCAAAUAUUCUUUUCAUACAUCUAUCUGGAGAAAUUUUUUCAAAAACCCGAGCUGUACACAUCUCGCUUACAGAGUGUACCCAAGACAAGAUCUGGGUGUUGAAUCCUGGAGGUAGACCACUAGUACCCUAGUGCAUCGAAUUCGUCUUCGAGGAAGGUGGAUCUAUUUUAAGGACAGUGUUUGUCACAUCUCAGCCAAUAAGUUUUUCUUCUUAUUAAUUCUAUUCUUUGUUUGUGUCUUUGGGGCUAGUCAUUUGUUUCCUUACCCUUAAUCUAACAAUAGGUAUAUGGGUGGCCCAAUCAUCAUCAUCAUUAUCAUCAUCUUUAAGAAGUGUAAAAUAAAUUUCCAUAAUAUUAUAACUAUUCAAGUUAUACACUACAAUCAAACAUAUUACAUUAAAAAAAAAAAAUCAUAAGUAGCUAGAUUCAAGAGGUACUGUAAAACAUACCAUGUUUUGACCAAGUGUAGCUUCCAAUUCUUAUGUAAAAGUCUAUUUAUUACAAGAAAUUAAAAAAGGAAAAGGAUUAAAAUCUUAAAAACAUGGCAAUAAUAAAACCCUUAGCAAAUAUCUAUUUGAAACUGUGUCAAAAUUUGCCUCAAAUUAACUUUUGAAUUAACUUUACUAUUAUUAUUGUUGGUGCAUAACCUUUUUGGAUGUGAUGAUCCAGUGACUAUCCAAGUCGCUAGCCAAUCUUCUAAUGUCACCUCCUCUAUUGGUGGGUGAUUUGGCUCUCUAGGAAAAUGAUCCCAUUUUUUCCAUGUUCUUUUUCCUCCUUUAUAGGCUUGAGUUAGAUGUUGGAGGUUGCGUGACAUACACGAUUAGCUUAGUAGGUUUGUGUUAGGCGGCGUGUGGCUGACUAGCCCUGAUGCUUCCUAUUGAUGUGAUAAAAUGAGGUUUUCCUUUGAGAUUUGUUCCUCAUACACAUCUUGUUGUUGCCUUCAGUAUAUGUGCUACAUGAUCCAUUUUGGUGGCUGAACAACUUCUUCCUAGUGACCAAUUUUUUAUUUUUUUAAAGAUCGAUUGGGGUAGGCUCUCAGAUCUCUCAGAUCAUUGUAGGUUUAAAUGGAGUCAAGAUGACCUCUCGACCUGGAGACAAUAUUCAACUGAUAUAACAUCUGGGUAUCCCUUCUCGCAAAAAUUCGGUACCCUCAAAAGACAGCUUUUGUAGCAAUAUUCGUCAUCCCCAACCUAAACAAGUACGUAGACCCACAUGUUGGUUGACUUCUAUAGUUGGUACCUUCAUUGCCCCAUUUCUUCAUGACCAAGUAGGUUUGGGACGACGUGCGUCAGGAGCUACUUGGGCUUGAAACCUUCGUGUUGCAAUCCUAGGAAGACGGUAGGUCAUACAUGCAUCACCUUGAGGAGUGGCAACAUUAGGGGAUUUUCACAAGGCGACACAAUGUGCACAACCGUUUUUUUAUUUUUAUUUGGGAAUUUUGCUUUGUUUAGGAACUUUGCUAAAAUGGGCACUUGACCUUGAUGAACAUUUUUCCUAGAUGGACACUCGACCUUGGUGGGCAUUUCACCUAGAUGGGCGCUUGGCCUUGAUGGGCAUUUCGCCUAGAUGGGCACUUGGCCUUGAUGGACAUUUUGUCUGGAUAGGCACUUGGCCUUGAUAAGUAUUUGCUUAGAUGAGCAUGUCACCUUGUUAAGCACUUGGCCUUGAUAGACAUCAUCUAGAUGGGCGUUUUGCCUUGAUGUGCACUUGGCUUUGAUGAACAUUUUGCCUAGAUGGGUAUUUUGCCUUCUUUGAUCUUUCGUAGGUUGGAACUCUAUAGGUGGUGGGGUUGUGUUUUGGGUUGUAUUUUCCAGGCGCACAGGUGUAGGGGUAAGGAAAUGCUACCUUUCCUCCUGGUUUUAGCUCCAAAUGUGCUUAUUGCCAUGCCACAGUUUUCUUCUCGAGACUUGAGUAUGCUUGUAAGUAUUGUUCUGCUUCUUCUUGUUGUGUUUAAGGGUAAGUUGAGUUUUUUUUUGUACUCUUACAUUUUCUCUCCAUCUUUCUUUAUCUUUAUUCUGUUGUACAGAUGAAGUGUGGCAUCAAGGAUUUUAGUAGGCGAAAGGGUGAGUUUCACUACCAUAUUGCUGAAACUGACCAACUGAGGCAAGUCGAGUACUUCUUUUGCACCUAAGGCUUUUGGUCGGGUGCUUUCUUGGCACCUGACGAUUUGGCUGAGUGUUUCUUGGAACCUAAGGCUAUGGUUGGGUGAUGUUUGGCACCUAAGGCUUUUUGGUUGAGUGCUUCAUUGACACUUAAGACUUUGUUGGGCGCUAUGCUUAGUUGGGUACUACUUGGACACCCUAGGCUUUGUUGGGCACUAGGCUCAUCUGGAUGCCACUUGGGCACCUUAGGCUUUAUUAGGCUCUAAGCCUGGUUGGGUGCUACUUGGGCACCUUAGGCUUUGUUGGGCGCUAGGCCCAGUCAGGUGCUACUUGGGCACCUUAGGCUUUAUUGGGCUCUAAGGUUGGUCGGGUGCUACUUGGGCACCUUAGGCUUUGUGGUGCUCUAGGUCCAUCUAGGUGCUACUUCGGCACCUUAGGCUUUAUUGGGCUCUAAGCUUGGUCAAGUGCUACUUGGGCACCCUAGGCUUUAUUAGGCUUUGGACUUGGCCAGGUACUACUUGGGCACCUUAGGCUUUGUUUGGCUCUAGGCCUGGCUAGGUGCUACUUGGGCACCCUAGGCUUUAUUGGGCUUUAGCCUUGGCCGGGUGCUACUUGUGCACCUCAGGCUUUGGGCUUGGCUGGGUGCUACUUGGGCACCUUUGACUUUGUUAUGCUCAAGCCCUGGUUGGGUGCUACUUGGGUACCUUAGGCUUUGUUAAGCUCUAGGUCUGGCUGGGUGCUACUUAGACACCUUAGGCUUUUUGGGUCUAAUUGUGGACCCGCAUUUUUCACAUGCGUCUCCACUCGAUCGGCGAGACUCGCUUUUUAUUUGUGAAAAAUUAAUUUUUGGAAAAAAGUUGGAGCCGCCACUUAUUUUAUUUUUAUUUUAAAGGGAAAAUAAAACAAGAAAGAAAAACCCUAAAUGUGACUCCAUAAUUUUUGGAAAAAAAAGCAUGUCUUCGAAAAACCCGAGUCUAAGUCCGGGGAUCAGGUUACUUAUUGGGAAGGUACCUUUAAAAGGUAGCACCCCUCUAAGCCCUACAAAGGUCUCUACUGACAACGUUAAGGGAAGUGUGACCAUUAAUCAGUUAAUUAUAGGUACCUAAGUAGGCUAGGUGAUUUCAAAUAAAAUAGCAUGCCAAACAAGAUCAAAUCACAACAAAAAAAGGUUAGGGUGCGUACCUGGUCUGCCUCUCAAGCGCUAUCACAAAACAUAAGAGUUAGUGUAGAAAUCCAUCACACAACAUAUAUCUUGCCGGGGAAAAAUCUAAUAUAUAUUUAAACACCCAAGAAUCACAUCAUGCAUGGAUAUAGUCACCCAUAGCAUACGUGUGCAUAGAAUUCUCGAAAAAAANNNNNNNNNNNNNNNNNNNNNNNNNNNNNNNNNNNNNNNNNNNNNNNNNNNNNNNNNNNNNNNNNNNNNNNNNNNNNNNNNNNNNNNNNNNNNNNNNNNNNNNNNNNNNNNNNNNNNNNNNNNNNNNNNNNNNNNNNNNNNNNNNNNNNNNNNNNNNNNNNNNNNNNNNNNNNNNNNNNNNNNNNNNNNNNNNNNNNNNNNNNNNNNNNNNNNNNNNNNNNNNNNNNNNNNNNNNNNNNNNNNNNNNNNNNNNNNNNNNNNNNNNNNNNNNNNNNNNNNNNNNNNNNNNNNNNNNNNNNNNNNNNNNNNNNNNNNNNNNNNNNNNNNNNNNNNNNNNNNNNNNNNNNNNNNNNNNNNNNNNNNNNNNNNNNNNNNNNNNNNNNNNNNNNNNNNNNNNNNNNNNNNNNNNNNNNNNNNNNNNNNNNNNNNNNNNNNNNNNNNNNNNNNNNNNNNNNNNNNNNNNNNNNNGGUGCCUAAUGGGCCAAGUGUAUCUAAAAGCUAUCCUAAAAAAAACAAGAAAAGCCUAAGUCUAAGUUAGGGCUGCCAAGGGUCACAAUAAGGGAUCAAAUAAUCCCUCAACCAAAGUCUCCGAGGUGACUCAGAGAAAGGUAAGUGGUAUGAGUAGCCAUGGGCCAUCAAGGAACUACUGUGGAACACUAAAAAUGAAUUUAAAGACAUGCGAUAAAGGGACAAAAUUGAGGGUCUACAAAUAUGCCCCUCUUUGGUAUAGAUCACGAGUGUAGAGAAUGUGAGUAGAGAUACGAGUAAUGAGCAGAAUGAAGUGAACUAUACCGAAGAAUUAAAGAAGGACCAGAGAUUUUGUCGUAGCACAUGAAGAGGUAAGAUUAAAAGAUGGGGUCUCAACGAUAUGGACGGGACAACUCUAUGUGGGGGAAUGACAAUAAAGAGAGAACAGUAUGUGACGAGUAGCACAAAGAUGGAAAGAGGUGAAAAGGAUGAUUCAAAGUCAUGGAUGACAUGAAUGACUCUGGAUCAUGGACAAGGUGAAUGACUCUAGAUCCAAAAUAGGAUAAAAGACUCUGGGUCAUGAGCUCAGGGCUCUAAUCGGAAAGAAUGACUCUGGGUCGAGAUGGAAAAUGACUCUAGGUCGAGAGCCCUAGGCUCUAAAUGGAAAAGAAAUGACUCUGGGUCAAAAUGGAAAAUGACUCUGGGUCGAGAGCCCUAGGCUCUAAAUGGAAAAAGAAAUGACUCUAGGCUUAAUGGAAAAUGACUCUGGGUCGAGAGCUCCAGGAUCUAAAAUAGGAAAGAAUGACUCUGGGUCGAAAUGGAAAGUGACUCUAGGUCGAGAGCUCCAGGCUCUAAAAUAGGAAAGAAUGACUCUGGGUCGAAAUGGAAAAGUGACUCUGGGUCGAGAGCUCCCAGCUCCAAAAUAAGAAAGAAUGACUCUGGGUCGAAGUGGAAAGUGACUCUGGGUCGAAAUGGAAAGUGACUCUGGGUCGAGAGCUCCGGGCUCUAAAUGGAAAGGAAUGACUCUGGGUCAAAAUGGAAAACGACUCUAGGUCGAGAGCUCCAAGCUCUAAAAUAGGAAAUAAUGACUCUGGGUCGAAAUGGAAAAGUGACUCUAGGUCGAGAGCUCCCAGCUCCAAAAUAAGAAAGAAUGACUCUGGGUCGAAGUGGAAAGUGACUCUGGGUCGAGAGCUCCCAGCUCCAAAAUAAGAAAGAAUGACUCUGGGUCGAAGUGGAAAGUGACUCUGGGUCGAAAUGGAAAGUGACUCUGGGUCGAGAGCUCCAAGCUCUAAAAUAGGAAAUAAUGACUCUGGGUCGAAAUGGAAAAGUGACUCUGGGUCGAGAGCUCCCAGCUCCAAAAUAAGAAAGAAUGACUCUGGGUCGAAGUGGAAAGUGACUCUGGGUCGAAAUGGAAAGUGACUCUGGGUCGAGAGCUUCGGGCUCUAAAUGGAAAGGAAUGACUCUGGGUCAAAAUGGAAAACGACUCUAGGUCGAGAGCUUCAGGCUCUAAAAUAGGAAAGAAUGACUCUAGGUCGAAAUGAAAAGUGACUCUGGGUCGAGAGCUCCGGGCUCUAAAAUAGGAAAGAAUGACUCUAGGUCGAAAUGGAAAGUGACUCUGGGUCGAGAGCUCCAAGCUCUAAAAUAGGAAAGAAUGACUCUGAGUCGAAAUGGAAAAGUGACUCUGGGUCGAGAGCUCCCAGCUCCAAAAUAAGAAAGAAUGACUCUGGGUCGAAGUGGAAAGUGACUCUGGGUCGAAAUGGAAAGUGACUCUGGGUCGAGAGCUCCGGGCUCUAAAUGGAAAUAAUGACUCUAGGUCGAAAUGGAAAGUGACUCUGGCUCGAGAGCUCGGGGCUCUAAAUGGAAAGGAAUGACUCUGGGUCAAAAUGGAAAAUGACUCUGGGUCGAGGGCUCCGGGCUCUAAAUAGAAAGGAAUGACUCUGGGUCAAAAUGGAAAAUGACUCUGGGUCGAGAGCUCCGGGCUCUAGAUAGAUAGCCGAUCAGGAUACUUUCCGACUCAAGGUGUCGGGUCGAGGCCACUCACAAGUGGCUAGAAUGAUGAAAACGAAACAUCUCAGGGAUGAAUGAUGCAAAUGACUCCGGGUCGUGAGCUCAGGGCUCGGGGUGCUAUGAAUGACUCUGGGUCAAGAUGGAAAAUGACUCUGGGUCGAUGAAUAGCUCAGGGCUAUGAGCUCCGGGCUCUAUGACUGAUCGGCUAGAAGGAGAAUGCGAUACGCAAACUCCAGGUCAAACCACUCAUGGGCGACCAAGUGAUGAAAGCUCAGCUAAGAGCUGGAAAGACUCUGGGUCUAUAGGAAAUGAUAACUCAGGGCUAGCGGGCUCAGGGCCUAAGGGAAAAAGGAUAGGUCAGGGCUAUAAGACUCAGGGUCUAGAAGGAAUGGAUAGCUCAUGGCUACGAGGCUCAGGGCCUAAAAAAAGAGGAUAGCUCAGGGCUAGUGGGUUCAGGGCCUAAGGGAAAAAGGAUAGCUCAGGGCUAUAAGACUCGGGGUCUAUAGGAAAUGAUAGCUCAGGGCUAGCGGGCUCAGGGCCUAAGGGAAAAAGGAUAGGCUAUAAGACUCAGGGUCUAGAAGGAAUGGAUAGCUCAUGGCUACGAGGCUCAGGGCCUAAAAAAAGGAUAGCUCAGGGCUAGCGGGCUCAGGGCCUAAGGGAAAAAGGAUAGCUCAGGGCUAUAAGACUCGGGGUCUAUAGGAAAUGAUAGCUCAGGGCUAGCGGGCUCAGGGCCUAAGGGAAAAAGGUAGGCUAUAAGACUCAGGGUCUAGAAGGAAUGGAUAGCUCAUGGCUAUGAGGCUCAGGGCCUAAAAAAAGGAUAGCUCAGGGCUAGCGGGCUCAGGGCCUAAGGGAAAAAGGAGAAGACCAACUCGAAAGUGGACAUGAAAUAAAUUGGCUCAAAGCCAUUUACUCAAAAGGUCAAGGGUCGGACUACUGAAACCAAGAAGGGAAAUAUGCCCCAGUAUCCAGGGUGCUCACACUGCCGAAACAACCAGUAAAUCAAUCAUCCGCUGAAAUCAAUGGGUCAAGAACCAAUACAUCAUGACAAACCUCUGAAAAGUCUAAACUGAAGAAACCCUCUAUGUCUGAAAAGCUACUCUGUCGGUGAAUCUCAAAAGGUAAAUCUCAAAGAGUGUGUAUCAUGGCUCAUCUAAAAGUAAACCUCAAAGUGCAUAAAAUGCUGCUCAUCUGGAUAAUCCAAUCUGCAAGGUAACAAUGACGAAAACAAAUCUGUCUUGUGAACAUCUGGCUAAAGGAUCUCGGGUGAAACCUGACGUGAUCCAUCUCUAUCUCAAAAAAUCCAUGUAGGGAGGCCCUGAUACAGUCGAUCGUCGGAAGCUCUGGGCUAGUGCUCAAUCUAAAACCAAGCUGGCCACUGUCUCAAUCUCAAAGAUACUCAAAGAGAAUGGGGGAAAUAUGCCCCAGUAUGAGAUCCGAUAUCAAAUUCAUGAGGUAAACAACCGACACCAAUCAUCUAUCCUCAUAUCACUACCCAAAAAAAUCUCGUAAAGGAGAGGGGAAUAUGCCCCAGUAUGGAUAUCUGAUGUCAAAGUCAUGAGCUAAACAACAACAAUGAUCAUCCAUCUAUAUACCGCUGCCCGAAUAAAUCUCGUAAUGGAGAGGGGAAUAUGCCCCAGUAUGGAUAUCGGAUGUCGAAGUCGUGAGGCAAACAAACUAACAAUGAUCAUCCAUCCUCGUACCGUAUACAAUAACAGAUAAGAAUCUCGGAGGAAGGGGGGAAUAUGCCCCAGUGUGAAUAUAUGAUGCACAACCAAAGGAUGAAUCCAACAUCAUCAAUCAACUAUCCUCAGCUCAACAAUAAUCCGCUAAGAAGUCAGAAUGAUGUAUCAACCAAUGCCUCAAGGGAGACACUCUAAAUCUAAUCUCAAAUGAAUAGCCAAAAUGAUGAGGAAUGUGGUAAUCUCAAAAGUAGAAACAUGUCUCUGAUGAAUCCCUGACUGAAUCUGAUAGGAAUCUGGUAACCUCAAAAUGGGGAAAUAUGCCCCAGUAUGCCUGGUCUAUACACUGCACUGAAAACUGCCUCCAACUCAGUAAUAAUCCACUAGUCUAUCUCAGAAGUACUCCGGGAAUGGAACCACUAGGGGCUCAACGAUGCUCCACUAGAACUGAUAUAGUCUCAACAUACCUCACUAGGGAUCUCUGAUCGGUGAAAAUACCCAGACUCAAAGAAAGUGCUCCACUAGGGGCUCAUCUCAGCCAGAUGAAAGGGGAAUAUGCCCCAGUAUGGAUAUCUAAUGCACAACCAAAGGAUGAAUCCAAUAUCCUCAAUGAACUGUCUCCAAACCCAAAAAUCCAUCAAACAUCAAUAUGCCAAGCAAGAGAGAGACCAAAUGCUUCCAAAAGUAUCUUCCAUAAAAGAAAACAUAGUAACGACCAAACUUCAACCAAUCUACCAAAAACCUGUCCAAGUGAAGACUGUCAAAGAUAACGUCUGAUCUCGUGGCCUCAGGGUGGUCUUAAGACACGGGACGUAACGUAGGCCAAGGUGAUAGGGUGAAAGAAAUGAAGGGAAACUAGGCUCAAAUACCCAAUGAUCAAACUCGUACCCUCGUGUACAAGAUGUAAUGCAUAGAAAAAUCUCAUGAGUCAUGGACUUAGAAGUAACCAAAGGGAAUGCCGAUAACGAAAUGAGAGAAAGGAUGAAUGGUCAAACCAUCAAUGGAAUAUGUGAAUGAUGUGAAGAAGGUAUCAAAUCAGUAAUGGGUAUCAAUAUGUAGGGAAUGAAUAAAAGGUGAAACAAAGAUCUGGAAUGAGGUAAUGGGAUACAAAAGAAAGCAAUGAGAAAGUGGAAUGAGUGAUGAUCAACCCAUGUUAGUACAAUAAAGGAAAGUCAUAUCACCAAUGAUGGAAUGGUGGGUAUAAGACAAUGAUCCGGAGACCCUAGUAAAAAGGUCACUCAUCUCUCAUACCUAAUAUAUAUCAAUCAUGAUCCAAACAACAUAGGAUCUCAUAGAACUCUCACAUGAACCCUCGACACUCCAAAUGCAUAACAAGAGUGACUCAAGGACUGAAAAACUCAUAAAAAACUCACAAAAACCCACAACGACAAAUAUACCCAAUAAAUGAACCUCAAAAGGUGGCAUAAAUGCCCAAUGGAACAAGAUACCAUACAUGAGCAUAUUAUUGCGCUUUUCUUUUCUUUUUCUUUUUUCUGAUUUUUGAUUGAUUUUUUUUUUGAUUUUUUUUUAUUUUGAUUUUUUUUUUGAUUUUUUUUUUUUUGCGCAUGCUCUGAUCAUCAAUAAAUCAAACUCCAAUGGAAAAAUAUAAGGAAUGAACAAACUCUCUCUGACCACUGAUGAAUACAUGAACCCCAACCCAUGAGACAACCUCUCAAACUAAGAUCUCCGAAUCAAUGUCAAAUGAUGGAAUGAAUAGAGUGAUAUGACUGCCUUCUUUGCACUAAGACGUGAAGAAUCAUCAACCCAAGGAAGAGAAUAAUAAGAUGAAGCAAAUAAUGAUAGAGAAAAGAAAGAGAAUGAAUAUAUGAUGAUAAUAAAAUAGAACAAAUAGGGUGAUAAGAGGAUGGUAACAAAAUGAGAAGAUAGACCUGUAAGUCUAAAGCUCAUGAGACUUUCCUACCAAAGCAUGCAUAUACAUCAAAGGGCCCCAACCCGGGUAUAGAAAUGGUAAUCAAAGCUAUAAGAAAGAAAUAAGGCUAUAACAUACCACGCGAAGCUCAAUGGGCUAGCAACGGUCUAAUAUAUAGAGGUGAUAAAGUAUGAGGCUAACCGAAAUGAUGGCCACCCAUCCUGCGACCACAGUCUCAAACAUAAUACUUCUUUAGUUGAUCCACGUUGGUAGGCUCUGAAAAUUGGUUUCCAUCUAAGUCUGUCAACCAUGCAGCCCCUUCUGGAGUCAACUCCCGGAUAACAUAAGGCCCACUCCAACUAUCAUCCAACAUGUCUAUCUUAGGCCCAUCAUGAAGAAAACCAUGUCAAUCAAAGCUCCCAUCUGAGAAAAAUUAACGUCCUCUAUAAGAACUCUCAUCUGAUAAACUUUGACUCAUAAUCCACUAAACUCAUCAUAUGUACGAAGUCACCCUCAACAAUGUCACUGGCUAACUGGGUGGUGGGGGUGGUUGGUAAUGAAUCAUACGACAUCUCAUCCUGAACUGGAUACUAUCUAUCUCACUGUCCAUCAAUCCUCUGGCUCAAACCUGCUAAUGUCUCUUGAAUAGAGUCAUGGUGACUGUAAGUCGAUCAACUGUAUCAUACUGAGGAUCCAUACCUGACUUCUUUGAAACCUUGACCAAUCUAUCUCCAACUCUGAUAUAAAAAGUCGAAUCCAAACUGAAGCGAGUAACAUUCCUAUAAGGUACAAAGACGCGGAAAGAGAAAUGACAUGAAGGAAGCUCAGAAGAGGUGGAAACACACUAAUCACAAUGCAGAAAGGUGGCCCAACUGAGACUCAAACAUGUACCAAUCUCUGAGCACACCAAAAGGAGACCAUGAAGAGGAUAACUGAACCCAAUUGUGACCAAGGCAGCUCUGAAGGUCCACAGAUGCACCCACGUGUAGGAGUGAAAUCUUAAUUGGAUCUAGGCUAACCUACAAGGUUGAGUUGGCUCUAUAGGGUAAAAUGGGUGGGUCAAAGGAUCCCUAGUAGAAGCGAUUGUACCCUCCGGCGGUACGCAACCCUCUGCACGCCUCCAAGGAGACGGGGUGCUUCCAUGCAAGGUGGUCAUCACCUCCACACAUGCACUUCCUCGCGUUCCCAGGGGGUUUCUUAAUGGUGAAGGCUCUCCCAUCUCUCAACACUCAAGGAUAAUCUAAAGUGCACAAUGAAGGAUGUGGGUGCAUUCGAAAAACCUAAGAUCUAAAGUGAGAUAGUGAAUGAAGAUAAGCAAUCAUACGAACAUGCAAGAGAAAAGGUUGUCAUGCAACAAGCAGCCAUGCGAAGCAGAUAAAUAUCAAACAAUCAAAGUCCUAUCUAGCAUAUGUGAGAGUGAAUCAUGCUAAAGUGAACAAACAGUUAAGUGAUCACAUCAAACAGUCAUGCGAAUCAAAUAAAUAGCAAACAAACAAAGUCAUAUCUAACAUAUGUGAGAGUGAAUCAUGCUAAGUGAGCAAAACAAUCAAGUGAUCAUUCAAGGCAAUCAUACAUGUUAAGAUAACAAACCAAACAAGCAAGCAAAUCGAAUCAUCUUGCCUAAAAAAGGAGGUACCCACUGAUCGACCAAUUAAACGCCACAUUUUCCUCAACUAGUGUUCAAGCUUGAUCCUCAAAAUCCCCAGUGGAGUCGCCAAUUUGUGGACCCGCAUUUUUCACAUGCGUCCCCACUCGAUCGGCGAGACUCGCUUUUUAUUUGUGAAAAAUUAAUUUUUGGAAAAAAGUUGGAGCCGCCACUUAUUUUAUUUUUAUUUUAAAGGGAAAAUAAAACAAGAAAGAAAAACCCUAAAUGUGACUCCAUAAUUUUUGGAAAAAAAAGCAUGUCUUCGAAAAACCCGAGUCUAAGUCCGGGGAUCAGGUUACUUAUUGGGAAGGUACCUUUAAAAGGUAGCACCCCUCUAAGCCCUACAAAGGUCUCUACUGACAACGUUAAGGGAAGUGUGGCCAUUAAUCAGUUAAUUAUAGGUACCUAAGUAGGCUAGGUGAUUUCAAAUAAAAUAGCAUGCCAAACAAGAUCAAAUCACAACAAAAAAAGGUUAGGGUGCGUACCUGGUCUGCCUCUCAAGCGCUAUCACAAAACAUAAGAGUUAGUGUAGAAAUCCAUCACACAACAUAUAUCUUGCCGGGGAAAAAUCUAAUAUAUAUUUAAACACCCAAGAAUCACAUCAUGCAUGGAUAUAGUCACCAAUAGCAUACGUGUCCAUAGAAUUCUCGAAAAAAAGAUGAGAAAGAGCGUACCUGGAUAGCAAGCUAAAGCGUCUUUAUGGGAAGCAAGGUUAGCCCAAUAAUAGAUUCAAAAUAAUCUCAUAUAUACCACAAAGAUAAAGCACAAUUAAUUAAAUAUCAAACAAAAAGUAUUGAAGAAAAUAUCAUGGAUGUCGGGCCCAAAAGCCAUGUAACCAUGCAAGUCAUACAAGUCACGCUGAAAAUGUCCAAAUGGGCCAAGUGUGCCUAAACGGGCCUAUGAUGAAAUUAAGUGGGCCUAGGGUGGUGCCUAAUGGGCCAAGUGUAUCUAAAAACUAUCCUAAAAAAAACAAGAAAAGCCUAAGUCUAAGUUAGGGCUGCCAAGGGUCACAAUAAGGGAUCAAAUAAUCCCUCAACCAAAGUCUCCGAGGUGACUCAGAGAAAGGUAAGUGGUAUGAGUAGCCAUGGGCCAUCAAGGAACUACUGUGGAACACUAAAAAUGAAUUUAAAGACAUGCGAUAAAGGGACAAAAUUGAGGGUCUACACUAAUGCUUCUUCAUACCUAAGGUUUUUUUUUUUCUUUUUUUUUUUUUGCGGUCAUGCGAUGCGUAACAUAUUUGAUUUGAAAAAUACAAUAGUUGACGAUAUUGCUUCCCCACUUGGGGAUCUUUGCUUUUAGAUGGAUUAGGCCAUUUGGUAAGACUAGGAAGUUCUUCUUUGGUAGUCUCGCUAGCGCCUCUUUGUCCACUGAUAGUGUCUGGGUAGCUGCAUCGAGUCAAGCCACCAAGAUCUAGUUCUCCCUUUUGAUUCGAUUAACAGUUCUUCUCAAUUUGUCCAGCUACCUUCGAUACUUUGUUAGCUACGGUUCAUUUGUUCGUUGUGGCCACUCAUAAGUUGUUGGGGUGACAUGCUCACCAUCAACGUAGUUAGCUGCCAAUGUAGUCACCAUGGUUGGCUUUUGUUUCAUUCCCAUAGACGAUGCCAAUUGUUGGUGCACAACCUUUCUAGGUGUGAUGAUUUGGUGACUAUCCGGGUUGCUAGCCAAUCUUCUAUUGUCACCUCCUCUAUUGGUGGGUGUCUUGGUUCUCCAGGAAAAUGAUAUUUUUUUUCCUUGUUCUUCUUCCUCCUUUAUAGGCUAGAGUUAGACGUUGGAGGUUGUGUGGAGUACACGAUUAGCUUGGCAGGUUUGUGUUAGGCAAUGUGUGGCCGACUAUCCCUGACGCUUUCUAUUGAUGUGACAAGAUGAUGUUUUCCUUAGAGAUUUGUUCCUCAUACAUCUCUUGUUGUUGCCUUUGGUAUUCAUGCCACAUGAUCCAUGUUGGCAGCCUAAAAACUUCUUCCCAGUGACCAAUUUUUUAGUUCUUCUAGGAUCAUGUUGGAGUGGGCUCUCGGAUCACUAUAGGUUUAAACAGAGUCGGGAUGACUUCUCGAUCGGGAGACAAUAUUCAGCUGAUACAACAUCCAGGUACCCCUUCUCGGCAAAAUUCAGCACCCUUAGGAGGCAGCUUUUAUAGCGAAAUCUGCCACCCCCGACCCAAGUAAGCAGGUAGACCCACAGGUUGGUUGGCUUCUAUGGUUUGUACCUCCAAUUAUAAUGGAAGUAUAAAUUUUAAAAAGAUUCAGUGAUUGUAGGAUUCAAUUCUAAUGCUCUUAUAGUAGCCAAGGGUCCUCGGACUCAUGGUAGCACACAGACAUGUCCUCUUCUAUCUAUGCAAAUAGUCAUGCAAAAUACAAAUAUUCCCUUAUACAUUCCUAUAGUUUUACAUGUAUAUGAAUUUAAUUAUUUUAUGUUCUGACUAGUGAAGCAACCAUAUUUCCCCAUUUUAACCUCGCUACUGCCAUUGAUGCGGUAGUAGAGUAUAACUGGCACAUAUAGAUAUGUCGAAAGAGCAAUCGAGAGCAGAUAGCUUCAAAUUCUGAAUGUGAAGUUCAGUUGGAGACUGGUUUUAUUAGCCUUUUAGAUAUGAUUUGAACCUCUAUUUUAGACAAGAACCUGGAGCUUCUGAAUAUAUGUAGUACAACUCCUUUGGUCAUGUAUAUAUGUGCAUAUUGCGUUGAGAUAGACAACAUACAAUCACUUGGCAACACGUACAAUAUUAAAACUUUCAGAAUAUCACAAAAUUUGAUUGAUGUCAAAGACUCAUUCUGGACAUUUAGGAUAGGAGGUUACAAUAAAGCCAUUAACUGUACACAUAAGUUCAUUUGCAUGAAUUGGGAACCAAUUUAGAAGGUCAAGUAUAUUCGCUGUCAACAAGAAUGACGCUACUGAGGAGGAACCCAGUUUGAUCAAGAUUCUAGCAUCAAACAACAGAGUCAAAGUCAAAUCAAGAGCAACGUUCCAACUUGUCAUGAAGACCAAGAAUAGUAAUUGCUUUUGAGCAAGCAGUGAAAUUAUUUGCAAUCAGACAAUCAUCUUCUUCUUCAAGAAAUGCUGUAAUGAAAUUCUUACCAGUUGUCUGAUUCUUCAAAACAUGAAGUUAGCAAACAGAUUGUUCAUAUAUAAUGUCAGCUGGCAUAAAUGUAGUGUUCAAUCACCAAGCCACAAAGAUGAUACAACCGAACAGUUGCAGCAGGAAAACUUGGUUGUUUAUUCAAAAUCAAGUAAAUCUCUAGGUCCCUCAUACCACGAUUGCUCCCAAUCUUCAGGUCUUGGCGUAGACAAUUCCUUCCUUGUCUAUGUGGACAGAACAAUGCUUGCUGUUCUAGUUGUUGUCUUUCACCAUGGUCUGUAGAAAAAAUGUCCAGAAAAACAACUAAUGAUCAGUAGAAGUGUAAAAGGGAAGAAAGAAAACUACUGAUAGAUUGGAUCAGUCAUCUUCUUCAUUAGAUCAUUAUAAACAGUUGGCUUUGAAAAAUUUGAAGUUAAUCAACUACAAUCAUGACACAGAUUUAUUUUUCCUAAAAGAAUGUAAAUGUAUGGUUUCUCUUUGAGUACAGCUCUCUACAGCACAAAAAUAAACAAAUACUGUGGUCAAAGCUGUCAAUCAAAAUCCCCCUAUCCAGAAUGCAUGGCAAUGGCUGAUCCAAAUGGCCAUGUACUAGUACACUUACUAAGAUUUCCUUCAAGAAUCAUGUACAAGUGACCACCACUGUUCUCGGUGUCCAGAGGCAGUUUUCCAUACUCAUCUCCUUCUCCAUGAGGCUCAUGUAGUUAUUGGAAGGAUUCAAUAAAUAAUCUCGAAACCCAUGAGCGUUUUUGGCCCAAAGAAAUUCAGCAUAUAACAUAAUUUUUUGUAUAUAUAUAAGUUUAUGAAAUAACCAUGAUUACUAGAUGGGAAAAGUGUGUUUUCAUCCUCUGAUAUGACUAUAUCAGUAAAAUGAGAACCAACUUUUCCUAUUUCAAAUUAAGUCACAUCAAAUUAAGCAGACUCUGAAAAAUACUGAUCUCCAUCUCAUAGUUUGUGAAUGGAUCAUAGACUGAAAAUGAAUUAUAUGUAAUCUACUUAAUUUACCAAAGGUAAUGAAAUCUAAUUUACAAUCAAAUUAAUUAAGAAACUAAGAUACUAAUCACUACCAUACGUACAUAAAUCAUAUAACAUUUCUGUAACAUUACUUUUCUUCAAUAUCAAGAACCGAAAAAAAUUAUAAGGCAAUCAAAUGAAACAAACCAAGAAAACAACAAUAUUAAAAGAGUUAUGAAAUAUCACCAGAUGAUAAUUAUUUUGUCAUAACAUAGUGAACAACAUAAAUUAAAAUCUUGAAAUGUCACCAUAGCCAACCUAGUAGAAAUGAUUCAUCAAAAUAUUUGAAUGUGAGAUCUUAAACUGGUGUUUGACCAAUAAAUAUGGUAAUAAACAUAUAUUAAGUAUAUAUGAAGUGACCAAGCUAAGAUUUGUAUCAUGUUAUUGUAGGGAAUCCCGAAUCUCUUUGUUCCUUAUCCUAUGAUUAGGCUAGGUACAUACGAAUCUUUCUAAGUUUUUCUAAAUCGUAUGAACAAUGGAAAAAUUGUGUUUUAAAAUAAUAAGAAGAAAUAGAAUUUGCAUUAGAAAACAUUACCUUAGAUUUGGAUGUUCCCAAAUCUAAUUCACGUAGUAAAGGAGAAGAUCGAAGAUCUUCCACCAGAUGACUUUUCCUUGAUUUUAGAUCUUAAUUGGUGAGAAGGAAGGAAGACUAAAAAGGAUAUGGUUCUCUCUCUCUCUUUGAAUAGUGAAAGAUGGCUCACUUCAAAAAAGUAAUGAAAACCUUAUCAUUUAAGGGAUAUUUAUAGGGUUCCCUAAUUGGGUAUAAGUGACUUAAGCGUACUAAAGGCUUGAAUCAUUUAAUUUAGCUCAGAAUGAGUCUUAAUUGAUUAAUUAACCUAACAUAGUUAUUUAAUUAAUUAAUUAGCUAAAUUUGGAGACUUUGUUCACUUACCCCUAUGCAACCUUGCAUAAUUACCAAAACACCCUUAUACGCAAAAGUGAACCAAGAGUUGUGUCAUCAAGGUAUAUGAGCUUAGGUGGACACCAUUGAGACCUAUAGGACAGUACUAGCUACCCCAAAAUCUAAUUUUGAAGUUGAUUUAACAUUCCACUAUAGAGAAUCGAUUGCACUAUAAUACCUUAUAUAAAUAACAAUGAGUACUGUUGUGAACAAGUCAUCUACUUACAAUGAAUCCAUUUCUUGAAUUUUUUUUGCAACUCUUAAUGCACUCAAGUCCUAUACAAUAUAAGAUAUGUAUAUCAAAAUGCUUACAAGGUAUAAUGUAUAGGAUUAGGAUAAAUAAAAGUGAACUAAAAGUUUAUUAAUAAAUAAUAAAAUUUUAAAUUUAUUACAUAAUGUCAUUCUUUUAUGAAACCUUUAAAAUAGUGAGAGCGCCCUUUCAUAAUCAUGAAUUAAACUUUAGUUUCAACUUCUAUCAAAGGCUAAAUGAGAAAAGCUAUCAUAGAGGAGGCCUCAGCCAAUGGGUAAGAUGCACUGUUAUACCAAACAAUAAGUGGAAAAUACAAUUUUAUUAAUACUUGAGACAAAAAAAAGAAAUAGAAGGAUGAUUUUACACUCAAACCAAGCAUUUAUUUAUAAUGAAGUGCAGUCUCCAAACGCACAUGUGGACUUAUUGGAAAAUCAUACAAAUUAUUGAAGGACGACCUUAGCUAGGCUAACAGUCUCCUAAAUAGGCCAUCUUUUAUAUAUCUUUGCAUUCAUCCAUCUCCUCAUUGUCUUUGAUUUUAGAUGGUGAGGAUGUGAAAGUAACAGGAAGCAGUGGACGAUUGUUCACAGUGAGGCUUAGCACAUCAGCUCUCGAAUAAUGUCCUACCACAUCGAACUGGAACUUUGCUUUAGGAAUCUCUCCACGAACAUCUACAUAUCAAGUGAUCAUAAAAAUAUUUCAUCAGUCCAUGAUAAAUAUCAUAGAAUAUCAAGUCUUCGAUAAAACUAAGUUUGCAGUCCUCUUAAACCUAAAGAAUCGACUCAUUUGCCUUAUCUGCAUACUGAAAUAUUUGGAUAUAUAAUUGGAGAAGUCAGGGCCAUACCAAGAUCAGCUGUGAAGAGGCCUUCUCCUUCAUAAUUCGGUCCUGCUAGAAUUUCGCCAUGGGGCGAAAUGAUGACACUACCUCCAGCCCAAACAAUAGAAUCUGGAGUGACAUCUUCUUCUGUAGGACUGUAAAGAUACUCAGGUGGAGGUGGGUAAUCUUUCCUCCGACAGAACUGGAUGGGUGAAAGAACAUAGCAUCCACCCUCAAUAGCGACGUGUCUCAUUGUAGCUACCCAUGUAUCCCCGGAAUCGGCAGUAGGAGCACAAUAUAUCUCAAUACCUAUAUAGAUGUACAUUCGUAUUUUGUGAUCAAUCAAUCCCAUAUCAAAGCCAUAAUGUAUUUCAAGCCAAAUCAUAUUAGUUAGUGAAGAAAAAGAAAUGGUAAAAGACAUACCUUUGCCAUACAUUGCUGUCCUGAAAAGUGGCAUUCUAUUUUCCCAACAAAUGACCGAACCAAGUUUUCCAUAUGGAGUGUCAUAAACUGGAGUUGUCGAGCAAUCUCCGAAACCCCAGAACAGCCGCUCCCAAUAUGUUGGCAUGAGUUUCCUAUGUUUUCCAAGGUAAUUACCUUCAGGAUCAAAGAAGAGAACUGUGGAAUACAAUGUGUAUCCAUCUCUCUCAACAACGCCUGUCACUAAGUAGACUUUGUAUUUCGCAGCCAUUGAUGCCAAUCUAUCCGCUUCAGGUCCUGAAAAUACAUUAAUAUGAGAUCAAAGAUGAAACAUGUAAGCUGAUCGUUCAUCACAAAGCAUAAGUAUAAUUUUUUUCUUGGUUCAUUCAUCAAACGUGUCUUGUUUCAAUAACUAAUUAAGUGGUUCAGUUCUUUAGCUAUUUAAGGGAGAAAGAGAGAGAUAACUGACCCGGCACAUUAAUGGCAGAAGCAUGGUACUUGCGGAAACUUUCUUUCCCUCUUGGCGACUGGUCGGCAAAGUUGUAUCCCCGGGGAUACCCACCGAUAAAUGCUUCAGGAAACACAACCAGUUGGGAUCCUAGUGCAGCUGCUUCUUUCAAAAACCUCUCAGCCUUAUCUGCUCUCAAAAUCACAUUGCAAGAAUUAAUAAUCCACGACUUAGAAAGUAAAUGAAUUGGUUGAAUGGAGAGAAUGAAAAUUAACUUCAAGGGAUCCCGAAUGACUUUUUGGUUGCUGAGAAAACUCAAGGAAAAAGAGACCUAGAUGAAACUUGAAACUCUCAUAUUUUCAGCUGUUUUGUAACUAAGAAAAGAGAAACCACCUCAACCCAACUCAUUAAAAUAAUUGUAAAAGCAGUAAUUCCUUGAUUGGCAGCUGAAAAUAUGAUCAGGGUUCAAUCAUCCUUUUCUUUUUUUCAGUCUCUGACCAACCAAUUAGAUCACAUAUUCCAUUACACAAGUUGCACAAUUGAAAGAAAUGGUACGUUACCUAGAGUGGCAGGAGUAUCAUAAAAGAUACUAGAAGCUUGAACAACGGUGGCUCUAACAGUUGAAGACAUUGCAGAAAUCGUAUGCUUUUUCGUUUCCCUUUUGUUUGAGGAUUCCUUACACAACGUUCAGUAUAUAUAUUGCCCAUGAACAUGAGGUUCUUCUGCCAUUACUUGAACGAGACGAAGAGGCUGUGAAAAGUCUGCCUUGGUUUUCUAUAUUUAUUGUGAGCUUUUCUCCUCAUCACAAAUUUUGAAGUUAUCCGCAGACAUUGUGGACCAGCGACAUGACUUGUACAAAUUGAAAAUGACUGUGAUCUGUGAAAAGUAAUUUAAGAUAAAAUUCAAUUCAUGGUUUGAUAGUUUUAGACAAACAAAACACAAAGGUGAACACAUACCCAAAUUAUUAGGCUUUUAUUUUCAUUUCUUUUAUAUGUAUAUAUAUAAUGUAUAAGUUGCUAUGAUUAUUUGAAUUAAAGAAGGGACCCGCCCACGUGCAUAGUGGUGGCUGAGGCCUUUUGUGACCUCAAAAUAAAAGAAAAAAAGAAUAGUCAUUAAAAGCACAAGAUAGUCAUUAAAAGUACAUAGUGUUAUAGUUUUAGACGCCCAAAAGAAGUCUUUUUGUGCCUUGUAAGAAUCAAAAUAAGUUUUAUCGCUUUCUUUUUUUUCUACAGGUACGAUGAUUAUCUUUGAACGAAAAGAGGGAGCCGCCCACAUGCAUGGAUUCCAUCCAUCUAGCACACAGAUAAAUUGUCAUUUGUGGCUUGAGGCUUUCUAUGACUUGUACUAUAUAUCUAUAAAACCCAGCAUAUAGCUAACAACUGGGUCCGACCUCAUGUAUUGGUCCCUACCAAAAAUUAAUGAGUGAUUCAAUGGCAGCUAUGGUAGAAAAAUAAAAAGGGAGAACUAUGCUUACCCUCACGUUGAUUCAAGCAAAUAUAUUUUUUAGGAAUUCUAAUUUUCAUAUUUCACCCAAAACGCAUAAUCAAUAAAUUUAUCCUUCAAAUAUGUAUUUUAAUAACAACCAAAAUGAGAAUUCUAUAGUUAUCCCUUAUAAAAUCUUUAAUAUGACAAGUCAUCAUUUGAUCUGUUUGAUAUCCUCUCCAUAUCAUGUAUUUGAUAUCCUAACUUUGACAUUUUUUUAUUUAUAUACGCUGAAGUGAAUACACUUUCAUAUUUCUUUUCGUUCUUUUAAUAUUUUCAUAUUUAUUAACUUAGUCAUUUUUUUGAAACAUUAACAUAAAAUUAUAAUAUAUGAUCAAUAACUAAUGAGAACAAAUUAAACAUAAAUAUAAGUAUGAAAUGGACAGAAAAUAAAAAUUUUAUCCUACAAACAAUACACUAAAUAGUUUAAAAUAUUAAUUAUAAUAAUAUAUUUGAUACUUUAGGGUUUAGAUUAAAAAAUUAUGUUUUACUUUUUAGAGGCUAGGAUAUAGGAUUUCCAUUAACCAAAGAUUUUUUGUAUGAAUCCUAAAUAAAAUGUGCAUUUAUUUUGCAAAUUCUUAUCAUAUAUAAUUAAAAUAAAAUAAAUAUAUUUUUAUCAUAUUAUUUUUAAUUUUUAUUAUUUUGUGUCAAAAUCAUAGUCAAUGAUGGUGGUUUUUGUUAUGAUAUAGCUCUUAAAAGGAUGUUAUGAUGUAAUAAAUAUGAAGUUUAUUAUUUAUUUAAUGGUAUUUUGAUUUCACUUUUAUUAAUCUUUAUUUCAUGCAUUUUACCUUAUGAGUAUUCUAGCCUGACAUUUCUUGCACUAUACAUAACUUGGGUGCAUUAAAAAUUGCAAGAAAGAUCCAAGUUAUAGGUUCCUUGCAAGUAAAUGAUUUGUUCACAACUGCUUUGUGAACUUAAGUGAUCCAUUUGAUGUCAUAGUUCACUACCUCUUCAUUAGAGGAAUGAUUGAUCUUGACUAUCGAGAUAGAGUUCUCAUGGUGAGUACACUAGUAUGAUGAGUUAUGAUGUAAAGUUGUUGGAUAGUCAUAACUUCACUAAGUUGUUAUAUUGUAUUGUUUUCUCAACCUUGAGAGAAUAUUGAACUUGUGCCAAAGUUUGUAAUUAUUUGACCUAUGGGUGAGAUCCUAAAGUGAUAAUAUAUUCCUUACGAAUUGGGUCACAGUAGAUAGAAGUCGGUAGUAAUAAGUAUUCUCAAUAGAGACAUCAUGAAAUCUCAUGGAAUUUGAGAUAGUGUUGGGUGAUAAUAAGGACAUGUAAUCAUGAAAUCUAUGGUUGUAUUAAUUCUUUAAAUGAAAUUUGAUAUAUGCUUUUGUGAGUUAGAGUAUGUUAGUUGAUCAUAUAAUAAGAGAAUAUAUAACUCAAGGAUGGUAAGGUAAUAUUGAAAGGCAAAUAACUUUCACCUUAUUAGAUUAUAAACACCAAUUCAUGGGGAGACUAUAUGCAAUAGAUAGCAGGUCAUGAAGUUAAGCAUUUUGUGUCUUUUUGUAAUACACAUAGGGCAUUGAAAUGUAAUUGACUUUCUAUAGUAAGAUGUUGAGCCAACUUUAAAAUUGGAUUAUAAAGGAGCCAAUACUAUCUUAUGGGUCUUAGCGGUCCUCGCUCAAGUUUAUAUAUCUCAAUGACAUGGUUUGUGAGGGUUGGAUUGACUCAUGAUUCACUUAUGUGCAAAAAGGCGUUUUGGCAAGUAUGCAUGAAUGCAUAAGAGUUUGUUGGGAUAAAACCUUAUAAAUCAUGAGAUGAUGUAAUAGAUUUAGUUUCAUUAAUAAAUUUAUUUAUUUACUAUUCUAGUUCCCUCAUAUUAUCCCAUUGUCAUUAAUUGGUUAUCGGAGUAUUUACACCCAUAUCACUUGCAUUGUACAUGACUUAGGUGUAUUAGGAGUUGAACAAAAAAUCCAAGUCAUGGGUUUUUUGCAAGGUGAUAAGUAGUUUAUAGUGGGUUCAUGGAUUUGAGCAAUUUAGUAGAGACUAUAGUAUACUACCUCCUAAUUGGAAAGAUAAAUUGUCUUAGUCACCGAGAUGACUUUCCCAUGAUGAGUGAAACAAUGUGUAUGGUUACACAUUGGACAUGACCUAUGGUGAAUUAUGACAUUAAUUUUUGGGUAGUCAUGAUUUACCAUGAUACUAUAUUAUAUAAACUCUCAACCUUGAGAAGAUAUUGAGUUUGUGCUGAAAUCAAUAGGAAACUUCGAUCUAUGGGUGAGAUCCUAGUGUGGUCAUAUAUUCCUUAUAAAUUGGGUCACGGUUGAUGAAGAUUGGUGGCAACAAGUGUUCUUAAUAGAGAUACCAUAAUAUCUUAUGAGAUUAAGAGAACGUGUCUCUUGGGUGAUCCUAAAGACAUGUGAUUAAGAUGACUACGACCAUAACAAUUCCUUUAGUAGAAUUUGACAUAUGCUCUUUGUAAGCUAGAAUAUGUCAAUUGAUCACUUAACAGGAGGAUUUGUAACUCAAGGAUUGGAGAGAUAAUUUUGAAAGGUUGGGAUCAUUACCUUGUUAGAUUACAAACACUAGUUCAUGGGGAGUUUACAUGCAGUGGAUAGUAGGUCAUAGACCUAAACUUUGCCUUGUUGUAAUUAUAUAGCAUAUUAGAGUGUAGUUGACUCUCUUUAGUAGGGUGUUAAGUUAACCUUAGAAUUGGAUUCAAAGUGAGAUAGUAUUUUCCUAUAGGUUCCAAUGGUCCCUACUCAAUUUGGUGUCACAUUUGUUUGAGGGAUUUUAGGUUUGUAGUUAACAAGUGUGCAUAAGGGGGAAUUUAAUAAAAAUACAAGGUUGGACUAGAUCUUGUGAAUAGACUUUCUAGAUUGGCAUAAUUUAUUAAUUGGAUUCUAAUAGGGCUAAUUAAUUAAUUAGGACCUAAGUGAGCUAAAUUAGGUAACCUAAGCCCAAUUUGGGCUCAAGUCACUAAAGUUCACAAGGAAGCUUAUAAAUAAUUAUUUAAAGCCCAUUGGGUUUUAUGAGUGACUUAAGCUUGCCUUGGGUUUGGGUAACUUAUUAUAGCCUAAAAAGGUUCUUAAUUGAGGGCUUAGAUUAAUCAAUUAGCUUAGUCCAAAAGUAACAUUCACCAAAUUUAUUGGAAACUUUGAAUUACUCCAUUUCAUGAUCCAGGAUCAUAUAGGGUGCAUGCAACUAUCCUUAGGCUUCUCUAGAUCUAAUGCAAUGGAAAAUAUGGAUAUAAAAUCCAUAAAAUGUACUAGAUUUAUAGAUUAGAACUCAUACCUAUGAUUUGAAUGUUUCUAAAUUAAAUCUAAUCCCUAAAAAACAUCAAAGAUGUUUUAAAAGUCAUUUAUUUCCACCCAAUCUCUCCUUUCACAAAUAGACCCUAGCAUAAAAGAAGGGUAGGCUUUUGUCUAUCUUUUUUGAAGGUAGCUAGGGUUUUCUCAUUCUUUUAUGGCAUCAAACUCUUAGACUUUUACUUUUUCCAUUCUCUCCCACAUGUCUAGAGAGAAUCUAGUCCCCACUCUUCUAGAUAUCUAACAUUGGAGUUCGUAGCUUCAAUGAGGAGCCAUCAAAUAGAAAACCAAUAGGUUUGUGAGAUUUUCGAUGACCCCUACACAUUUAAUAACCUCCUUGACUGCAAAAAUUUGAUUUGGGAACAUCUAGAUCUUGGUAAAUACUUCUAAUCUAUAGAUCUAGAUCUAAUUUCUAUUUUAAAGGUGAUUUUUCUUUCAUUGCUAGGGUCUAGAUAAGCCUAGGAAAGUCUGCAUGCACUUAACGAGAUCUAGGGAUAGGGAACUUAGUGAUUUAUGCUUUCUUGUAGUUGGAGCUUUUUGCUUUUGAUUUUAACUUGAGUGUACUUUUGGCAUUUUCUUGCUUAAGCUUUUAAUUUUUUUGAAUGAUGUACAAUGCAUUUAUUUUUUUAGAGGAAUGUAUUUAUUUUUCUUAAUGAUGUACUUCCUUUUUUGAAGGAUAUACUUAAUUUUAUAACAAAUGUAUUUAAUUUUUCUAAAGAAUGCACUUAUUUUUCUAAGGGAUCUAGUUGUAUGGCAUAAGAUGUCCUCUCAAGCAGAGGUGGAGGUACUAUAGAUUUUGUAAUAGGCACAAUGAUUACUAAGGUGGUAUGUGAUGGAGGGAUUGGCAUAAAAGCCUGAAGUAAGGGUGUGUCUAAUAAUAUAAAUGGCUCGAGUAAGUAAAGAGCAAAUGGUGUGGAAAUUCAAGUAGGGAAGAAAGGGUUGGUAUGGAUUCAUCGGGGGAAGGAAAUGUAGGUUCCAUGAUACAGAUGCCUGAAGUAAGGGAAGAGUAGAUAAUGUGUAAGCCCUAAGUGGGGGUUGUUGAUGCCAGGUUAACUAAGGAUGGAAUCCCUUGGUUGUGGUAGCAAAAAGGUUCUGUCCAAAAGUCGGAGACUAGGCUUUCGCCUUCCCUGCACAAAGAUGUCCUGACACACUCUCCAAAACCUAAGUCAGACUUUGAAGUGGGUAGGAACCCUUAGAGAGAGAGAGAGAAGAUGAGAAAGUCCUUAGUAUUGCGUACUUGGGUUCUGGUUCCAGGAGGGUUUUUAUAGUGUCUAGGAUGGAGUCACUAUUGUGUUGAGUUAACAUCUUGACUUUUGCCGUCAGAUGGCAUCACAGUGGAUGGUAGGGUAAUCAUCACCAUUUAGGCGGCUGGCAGGGGUUUCUAGUGGGUACGUUAUGAUGGUUUACCUGUCACCUCAACCUAUUGGAGGUAUGGGGCAGUGUGUGAUAGUCGUUUGAUAUGAACGUGGAGACAAGGUAAGAUCCCAUCACCCAUACUUUUGUUAGAAAAAAAUGAUUUCCUGCAGCAAGGAAAUAGAGCAACCAGCCGGAAUGCACUGACAAUUUAAGGGAGCCUAGUAUUGCCGAUUGCUGGCAUGUAUAGUCCAGACUAGGACCUUCGAGUUUGAUGAUGAUCGUCCGAACAACAUUGAGAUGAGCGCCAUGUGGGCCAGUAGUGGUCUACCACGUGGGGGAAGAUCUCCACAGGGGUGACAAGGUUGGAAUGAAGGUAUUAUGGAAGAUGAAAUAUAAGUCUAUGACAGCUUUGAUUUGGUCUGGACUUCUAUUCCCUUUUGUGUGACCAUGAAUCCCAGGAAUUUGCCUGCGCUGACCUCAAAGGCACAUUUGGCCGGGAUCAACUUCCUAUUGUAAUUUCUCAUUAAGCGAAAGGUCUCUUCUAAAUGUUGGGCAUGUUUUGACCUGGUUUUGCUUUUUACCACAAUGUCAUCAAUGUAUACUUCCACUAUGUGGCCGACUAGUGGCUUAAAGAUCUUCUUCAUCAGCCUUUGGUAGGUGGCUCCCGCGUUCUUGAGCCCAAACGACAUGACUUUAUAGUAGUACAAUUCGUGAGGCAUUACAAAGGCGGGUUUUUUUUUCAUCCGACUAGAACAUCGAAAUCUGAUGAUAGCCAAAGAAAGCAUCUAUGAAAGAAAACAUCGUGUGUCCAGCAGUAGACUCGAAUAUCUGAUCUAUCCGGGGUAACGAAAAACUAUCUUUUGGACAUGCGUCAUUCAGGUUGGUAUAAUCAACACAAACUCGUCAUUUACCUCCAUUUUUUUGGGACCACCAUCACGUUUUCCAGCCAUUCCAGAUACUCUACUUCCCUUAUAAACCCAUCCGUGACCAACUUCUCUAUUUUACGUUGGAUAAUCUUCUGUCUAUCCGGAUGGAAGCAUCGGACUUUCUGUCGAACACGUCACGAGGAAGGCAUAACAUUGAGCUUGUGAGAGGCUACCGAUGGAUGGAUUCCGGGCAUAUCAGAAUAAGUCCAUGCAAAAACUUCUUUAUUCUGUUGAAACACUCCUUGGACUGCUUUAAGCUCUUUAAGUGCUGGUAAGGAGCUGACAUAGGUAACACGGUAGUUAUCCUGAGAGAGAACCAACGGUAGGAGUGGGUCAGCCGCCGACGGAUCUCUUUCUGUCGGGCUCUGUAAUUGCUAUUGUUCCUCCGUGUCAGUUCGUUUCGUAAGUGGCUUAAAAACACUUAUGGAUCCGGAUUCUUGCGCCACUUGAUGACAUUGUCGUGCUGCUAGCUGGCUUCCAAAGAGGUUGAUCGGUGCCUUCUCGAUUAAAUAGCUCACCAUUUGGUGAUACAUAGAGGGGAUGACCUUCAUACUGUGCAGCCAUGUGCGCCCCAUGAUGGCAUUGAAAAUGGACAAGUCUUCCACUACUAAGAAUUGCACAUUCUAGACCAUUGACUCGACUUGGACGAGUAGCACAAUGUCUCCUAGAGAAAUUGUUGAGGCCCCAUUGAAACCUGAUAGUACAUGUCCGGGAUUCUCUAAGGUGGAUGAAGAGAAUCCCAUCUGUUUGAACGCGAACAUCUAUAACAGGUCAUCCGAAUUGCCCGGAUCAACUAAAAUCCAUCUUACGUCAAAAUCAUUGAUCCCCAACAUCAGGAUGAGGGCAUCUUCAUACGAUUGUAACACUCGGUUGGGGUCCAUUGGAGGGAAGGUGAUUACCCCAUUUAUUAGGCACGUGUCCUCAUCGGGCAAGCCAGGUUGGAUGGAGCUAACCUGCUUUCUUACAGAGGCUGGUUGAAGUAAUCUUUGCCUCUUCUGUUUAGAGUUGUAUUUUUCAUCAAUGGAUACCCAAUGAAUGUAGUUGAUUAUGGCUCUAGGAGUUGCUGAAGUUGUGAGGGUCGUGGUGGCUGGACUUCAGGUUCCAUCCCCACGUCUCCCAUUUGAGUGGACGUACUAUUUCAGAUGGCCAACUCUUAUUAAUUUUUCCAGUAAGUAGUCGAGGCUUCUGCAUUGUUAUGUGGUGUGACCAUGGUCUUUAUGGUAAGCGCAAUUUCUAUUCUGAUCCCAUUUCACCGGAUCUGUCUUAAUUGGCUCGGGCCAUUUGAAAUUGGACAAAUCCUUGAUCAUGGGGAGGAGUUUGUUGUAUGAGAUAUUGAGGGGAGUGAGACUAGCUUGGGUUGCCUGUUGUCCAUCCUACCACUUACCAGUUUGUAUGCAUUGUUUGCAGGCUUAGAGCUCUCGACUGAGUUGUUCCUAGCAUUUUGAUUGGUGACCAGGACCUAUUGGGUAGCUGUGUGGACAUCGUUUCAAGCAUGGAGUACUUGUUUGCUCGUUUGAACAAAUCGUCCAUCGUUGCUGGAGGUUUUUUGGCAACAGAUUCAAAAAAGGGUGUACCCGGGCAGAUGCUUCUUUUGAAAAUUUGAAGGACGAUGUCUAUGCUACAAGGUUCUACUUGAAGCACAACAUGUCCGAACCUCUUUACAAACUCUCUCAAUAACUCAUUCUCCUGCAUCUUUAUGAUUUGCAAAGUACUGAUGUUCUGCUUAUGCCGUGCUAAGCACAGAUACUGUCCCACAAAGGCCUCCAACAAAUUCUGAAAAUUAUUCACGGAAUUCAUCAGAAGGCGAUGGAACCAUGAAAGAGACUAGCCAUGGAGGUUAGCUUGGAAGACCUUGCACAACAACGCAUCAUUCCCUAUGUCAAGGGUCAUGAGUUGCCUAUAAUGCAUGAUGUGGUCAAAUGGAUCGUUGGUUCCAUCGUAGGUAGAGAAUUUU